RNAcentral lists this long non-coding RNA (51780 nucleotides) under Selaginella moellendorffii. Its description in RNAcentral is "long non-coding RNA (SMOE_LNC000181)". Lineage: Eukaryota; Viridiplantae; Streptophyta; Lycopodiopsida; Selaginellales; Selaginellaceae. The record is from RNAcentral.
GCGGGUUUAACGUUCUGAGAUAUGGUCAGUCGCACCAUUCUUCCACACCAGUAGAUCUGGCCUCUCGUCUCCAGCUCUUUGCCCUUCUCUACGUUCUCCUUGGCGGCCUGGUGACCGGAGUCUCCUGAAGUAUUGCAGCCGGACUUCGCCGAGAACCCUCCAAGUUCAGCAGGAAUGUGAGUCUUUGGAGGAGUGCAUGCUUGAGGAAGAAUUUUGUGCUCUGCAAUGCGCGCUCCAACCUGGAUCGACCGGAACAGCAGCUGAAAUGCGACUCGCAACCGUGCCUCCCAGAAGUCAUCCCCGAGAGAGCAUGUUUCUGACAGGAGUUGCAUCUCAUCCCGGCACGCAGUAAUAUCCAUCGACCAGUGAUGCUCCAAACAGUACACCACCUUCUGCUUGAUCAUCGCCGACGGCAUUUAAGUCGCCUUCAGUGAAUGCCGAUAAAUCCGAGCAGACUUCGGACCUUGAUGAAUAUUGUUCUCGAACAGCUCCGCCAGGAUGCCAGCAUGAUUGCCUGCUUCCCUGAAUGCUUCUUUGUGUUUUCUACAGUCUCCCUGCUUUUCUGUUCGUCGCUGGCUCACUGUUGGAGGUUUGUCGAAUGCUGCACCUAUCAAGCUCAUGUCUUUAGCCAAACCUUUUAGAGCUGUCUUUGGAGAUGCUUUGUUUCGCUGCUUCGAUAAGAGCGACAGUGGUUUGUCGCCUCCUGCUUCGUAUUCCCCGACUCGGCUGCCACUGGCGAUGCCUCUACGAGGAGCAACGGCCUGCGAUCUUCGUUGGACACGUUUCUGUAAGGCGUCUGGCGAGUUUGUACUUCGUCGAAUACUCUCUGGGUAGAACGAAUAGGAGUGGCAAGUCGGCUGAUGACUUUGAGCAGGUUGAUAGAGAUCGGCAUCCAGAUGAGCUGCGGCCAUCGCAAGAACAAACCCUAGAGCUCUCUCCACACGAGAGAGCUCCUAGCUAGCUAUUUAUACAAAGGAAGCGCGCUCGUUGACAACGGACGGCUGGGAUUCCUCGCGAAAUGCUUUGGCCUUAUCCUAAUCGCUAAACUUAAAUUUAAUUUCCAAAAUAUUCUAUAGAAUAUGCCACUGUCCUUUCUGUCUUUCCCCGUUUAUUAUUUGAAAAAUCGAAUGCUUUGAAGUCCUAUAUCGAGCGAUCAUUUUCUAUUCACAUUGUAAUAUAAACAGAUCCAUCAAGUUCUACCAAUUAUUUUCGGAAAAAAAUCCAGCUUUGAGAUCAUCUUUCGUGCUAUCAAUAAUCUCGCGAACAUCCUUCUCAGUCCAAUCAAGAGCACCAUCUCCAGCAACGAUUCGGAUCAAACUCUGGAAGAAGAGCUUGGUAUGAUCGCUAGAACCAGAUCCAGGAACUCAGCGUAAACUCCUUUCGAGGCACGUAAAGCAUCCCAUGGACGUGCUCCCCGUCUGGAUACGUAGCACUCGAGUCCUAGCAAUGAGUCCUAGCAGGGGCGAUGAGAACUUCGACAAAAUGCUCAAGGAUGGCACUCGUUUCAUCGUUUCAUUGCAAAAAUCGCAACUUUGAUCAGCGAAAAGAAACGUUAUACUCACCUCCACACUUUCACAACUCGAUUGUUCCCCACUUCGACAAUGCCGAAAAGAAAAUACAUAUAUCCAGUUGUUGCCCCAAGCUUGCAGAAAGAUUGGAGCAAAACGACCACUUCUCAUAUUUGCACUGCCAUCCUUCUUGGAAACACAAGCUCCAGCUUGAUGUAGCAGUAUUCUGGUUAAAGAGUUAGCAUGCUAAACGUUCCAAACUUCAAUGUACGCUCCACUCUCAAAACUGUAACAAGAUUGCUUAAUCCUUGAACUCGUCCGUCACGAACCAAGACCCAGAAGCCAUGCUCGGUUUGAGUUUCAUCAGAGUCAUCUGCGUCCUGCAAAAACAUUUAAGACAAGACGGAAAAGAUGAAGGAAAAUGUGGAAAGAAUAAGACUUAUUUCAGCGUCAACUAGUAAGCUCUCAAGAUGAUCAUCAUCGCCUCCAGCUAACCUUGGUGUUCCACUUUGGUUAAUAACGCAUUAUCACUUCAUAAACUGAGGUGCCGUUGUAAUAUUGGGUUUUGUGAUUUUGUAAAGGUCCGGAGUUAAUGCUCCUUUUGGGAUACAAAAGGAAACGCAUGAAUUCAAUAGAAUUGUCGAGUCUCACACUGCAGCGUCCAGUGAUACGUCAAUAAUCUCUUCCAUGGCAGCACGCAAAGCAUCUGAAUCCAUGGAUUGUCCCAAUCUUGUCACCAGCAAUAGGAUUCGCCAGUUCCUCAAGCAGUCGAACGAAUGGAUUGUUUGCAAUAAAACAACUGUGGUAUUUGCUGGGAAGGACAUCAAUCUUCCGCUGCUUACUUCUUAGAUCGCAACAAGAUACUACAUGAUCGACCUCAUCAGUAGCAUUCAAAGACGAAGCUGGAUACUUACCAAGAAAUGCAGCUUUGAGAUCAUCUUUGAAUCUUUUCCUGGCAUUGAUAAUGUUGCAAACUUCUUCUCGGUCCAAGCUAGAGCACUAACGAUUCGGAUCAAGCUCUGAACGAAGAGCUUCGAGUGAUCGCAUAAACCGGAGCCACGCAUUUUCACGUUGGGCAGCAUAAACUCCUCGCGAGGCAAGUACAACAGACCAUGGAUGUAUUCCCCAUUUGGAUACGUAGCAGACGAGUCCUUUGAAUACUUCGCAGAAAAGUAUGCAUUUUUGUAACUUUUUGUUGAAGUUAUACUUCUCGUUGGUACAGCAAGAGAAUCAAUCAGAAUGACAACCAAAAAUCUACUCACCUUUGCACUUUUACAGCCGGAUUAUUCGUCAGCUCUAACCAAGCCAAAGAAGAAAUACACACCAUACAUCCAAUCGUAUUUGCCCCAAGACUGCAAAAAUGGCUGCAAAAAGAUUGAUCAAGCUGCAGGAAACAAUAGCUGUACUACCUGAAUACAAAGCCACGAGACAAUCCUCCAAUAUGUUCUUCGAAGGCCCAGACUUUUUUUGAGAUCUCCAUCGCCUGUGUUCAUGGACAAGCUUUCAAACAAGAAAAGUAAGACAACACUCUCUCAAAAUCUCCAAACGAGCUACCUGAGAAUCCUACAAGUUUUCUCUUGCAAGAACCAAUUUUUUCUUGGGCAGCAAACUGCGGAAAAGAAAAAAUGGAAGACUUAGAGGCAGAGCCAACCAUGAAAAAGGGCUCUUAAAUUUCUUCGGGCGAAAAUUCUUCAUCGUGGAACAAUGCCACAUACUUUAUCAGGUCCACAGAAAUAUGGGAACGGUUGCAUGAACUGCAUGGCACGUUGAUGCUCACUCGCAUGCAAUGCUGGAUGAUUGGUGAGGAUGUUCCUUCACGAGAUUGUAGAGCGGUCGAAUUGUCAUGGCCAGCGACAUGGAGCCGGCAAAGGAAUCCAAUCCCACAAACCAAAGCAUGUAGCGAGAUGGACGACGUCACUGAAUCCAUCGACUUCGCAUGUGCGCUCCAAAAAUGUUUGACGGAUAGCGCAAUAUACGUACUCAUUUGAUCAUUUUAUUCGGCUAGCUCUCACUGUUCUUCUUCUUUUUUUUCCUAUUUCUUUCAAGAAGACGAAUUUUCUUGUACAAAUCAUCGGGAAAAGAAGAAAUGGAGACUAUUUCUCAUUGAUUAUCUCAAGAGAAAUACGGAAAUAUAAUAAGCUUAAGUGAAAAACCUUUUACAAAAUUUUAAGCUCAUCUGAUUCUCAAACCUUGAGCCUCGCAGCCUUGCAGCCCCAGGAACAUCUUCAGUGUCAAGUUUGAAUAGCUCAUCCGCCUUCAGGUCAACAUAUUCUGACGCAAGAACUAUGGUGUUGCAGUUGGAGCAGCUGGAUACCUGGACUAUCGUCGAUGGUGCCUCCAUUUACAUUGAGAGUCUGGGACCAAUUCUCCAGUGCGUUUCUGACGUGGAAUCCAAUCACCAUGAGUUUGCGAAACAGGGAAUCUAUGUGUAUAUGGAGCCCUGGACGCUGCAGGAUGCACCAAGGCAGUUGGCUUGAACAUCAUGGAUAUGCGAGAUCAAUAUCCCUACUCCGGAGGAGUUCCCAGAUACAUCUUUUACUUGGACACAAGCAGACUCAAGAGCCUCAUCAACAACGCUUUUGCGAAUGUCAGCAACGUCUCCGAGUUAUUGAAGAAUCCUGAUAGCAAGUUUUCCAACAAGAUUUUACAUUAUAGAUCAGUUCUUUGCUUUUACUUCUUUCGAUACAUGCUCUUCUUUUGCAGGUCUCAGCAUCCACAAGAAAUGGAGGCAUCUAGAUAUAAGGGUGGAAAUUAAAAGAGGUUUAAUAAAACUCCCUUUACCCAAAACUUUAAACACACAUUUCAUCCCUUAAGCUUGUAAAAAAAGGAAAUAUUUUAGGUUUUCACUUGUCCUUUCAGCAGAGAAGUCAACAAAGAUGCUAAACAAGAGUAGCAAAGUGUACAAGGAGCUCCAUCUUCUCCAAAACUACCCAUUGUUUUGGUUCUCAUCCUCCUAGCAGAGUGGCUUCCAGUUUGGAAGUGUGGAUGAGUUGAAGCUGUAUUUGAAACAGCAACACCCAACUUGUAUAAAGUGCAAUUAAGGUGAGUGUGGCAACUUUGACUACUUUAACAAUGACAUCGGCCAGCCAAGAUAUUGCUGCAGUCUGUGCAAGAAAAAAUUUACCUAUCGUGGAAAAACAAGACCCACCUACAUGAAGUGGCCAAGAUCAAGCAGCACUGAGGAAGUUAGCAUGGCACAUGAGAACAAAAACUCAAGCACACUCCAGUUGAAGACAAGAUGAGAAAGGGUUUGCUAGUCCACGAAAGUCAAGCGAAGCAGAGUGGUCAACAGGCCGAUAAAGCUGGGGCAGCAGACAUAGAAGAUUUUGACAUGGAUGACCUGGAAGUGGCUAGAAUCAUGGCACUGGUCGAGGAGAAUGAAGUCCCAGACGAGGAGGAACACAUCCCUCUUGUGUUCCCUGAGGUGGCAGAAAUUGUAGUGAGUGACAGAGAGAUGACUGAAAUUCUAUUGUCAAAUCUCGAGGAUGUGGAUGAUGAGGAGAUGCUAGAUCUUGUGCUUGAGGAGGUUUUGGAGCAGCCAGAACACAAGGAGGGGUUGGCAAAAAUUCAAAUUGGCAAUGGGGAAACGAGCCAAAUCCUCCAAAAGAAUGUGGACAAUGAGGAUCUUGUGCUUGAGGGGGAUUCUCAGGAGGAGUAGGUAGAGGCAAUGGAGGGGGACAUUUAUUUUGCUCUCGAGCUUGAACAGGAUCUCCAGGCCGAAGAAGAUAAGCGAAAGGAGGAAUCUAUAAUGCUCUGGAAGAUUGAAUUGGAGAAAGUUAAAUGUAGUGGUAUUUUUAAUUUCAAAACAAAUCCGUAGGGUAGUAUUCUUUGUUGAUUGAAUCAACAAUCAAAUCAACAUAAUUAAGAUAGAAAAAUUAUAAAAAAAAAAAAUACUUCCAUGUUUGGUGUAAAAUUUAUUAAUAGUAUUAAAUUGAUUCACAACAAGAAUUUUCCACUAGUCCUGAAAUCGUGCCCCAGAAGGAGGCUUUCUGCAAGGUACUUAAUUCUUCUCACCUAGAUUUUCUUCUUUUUCAUGUUGCAGACUGUCGGAAAUAUGUAUCAACAGCUGUCCGAGGAACUUAGCUGGAUCAAGGUUGAAAAGGAGUUGCUUCAUCAGAGCUGCGAGAGAUCCAAGCAGGAGGUAAAUCGAAGCUGGUUAAGGCAGACUUUUUUUGUGAUUCAGUUUAAAACACUUGACUUGAGAGCAGGACUGACUUGAAAGAUGGCCUACCAGCCGGGACCUGCAAAUACAUGCUGCGCAGGUGCAAACUCCUGCCAUGAAGAAUCAUAAUCAUAAAAAAGUAAGCAGUGGCAGAGUAAACACUAACCUUCACAGAGAGAUAUUCUUCGUAGUGGGAGGUGUUCACGAAGCAUGAAACCAUGAUCUGCAUUAAAAGAGAAAAAGAAGAAUUAGUAGAACACGAAGAUGGUUUCUACCAUAAGAGACUGGUUUCACGGGUCAAUGUUGUCAAAGAACAGUUUUCGAUGCAACCGUCUAGAGCCCUGCAAAAUCUCAAGUUCUAGGAAUCAUAAGAAGAAAUAUCAAGAUAUCUACCUGCAUAUUCCGAUGAUCGCAACACAGGCUACGGAAGAAUGUACUUCGUUCGACUCUUGUCCCGUUCACGUCGCUGAUUGAAACACACCACUGUCAGAGCUACAAAGAAAAGAAAUUCAUGAACUAUAUGUCUCCACCUAGAAGAUAUUGCGACACAGAAAUUUCCUUGGGAAAUUCCUUGCGAAGGCCGCGGCAUUUCGACAAUCUCACGAGCUGGUUGCAGCGACAAAGAAUCCUGCCAAGCACCAAUUACCACAAAACAAGCCCGAGAAACCUAGCUUCAGGCUUCAGCCUACUCGUGGACAGAAGGAAGAGCCCAGCCCCCGGUCUCGAUGGAAUUUGUACGCUUACACCGGCGGCAACUCCUAAUCCAUGAGAAUUCGAGCUGAGAGAGGAGUAGCGGCAUUGUAAACUCUCGCGUCAUACCUUCAUCGCGCCAUGGAAGAAUGGAACCCUAAAUUAACAGCCGUCAGAUCAUUUUCAUCCGCGCCCUCCACUGCUUUACCGUUGGGGUUUCUCCAGCCGUCAGAUCAAGCGCAUCGUGACCGUCCGAUCCCAACAUAUAAGCUUGCGAGCGGGGCAUUUGUGCUUCUUUGCCGGGCAGCUAUGGAUGUUAGGGAUGGCGAUGGCGAUGGCGAUCGCGGCGACGGUGAAGGAGAGGCCUGUCCAAUCUGUUCCAGCGGCAUCUCGGACGUCCACACGGACUGCGGCCACUGGUUUUGUCUAGAGUGCUUGGUGGAAUGGGUGGAGAGCGCGCCAUCGAUCAGGUCAUGCUCCACGGCCAGUACCGAAUGGACUUGCCCGCUGUGCCGCCACGCGCUCGAGGCAUUCGAUUUCGAUGAGCGAUGGAGCGAUGGCACCGACCGCGAGGAGCUCCGGCAGCGAUUACGCGACUACCAGCAGGAAAUAUCCGAGCGUAAGCGCGACCGCGACCGCCGACGAACCCGACGACGAUUACGACGAUCCCGACGACGAUCCGCUGUUGUGGAGGACGAGAACGAUGCGGAUUGCUACCCGUGCUUGUUGUUCAUCAGCGCGCUCCUCCUCUGGUUUCUUCUCAUUGCGACAGGAAUUCUAGGCUAGAAAGGGAGCGACUUGGAGCGAAUUCCCAGCCAGAGGGAGGGGAUUUGGAGUCGCUGGGAGCUGCGCUCUCUUCGAUCUCCUGGGAUUUUGGAGUGGCGAUGUUCAAAGCUUCGAUCUUUUGGCAGAGGGAAGAGGUAGCGCAAUGUAAGUACUCUCUCGUUUAUUCGUUUGAUCGUUUUCAUCGGCUAGCUCUCACUGUUUUUCUUUUUGCCUCUUUCUCGCAGAGUUACGAGUAGAAGAAAGAAGAAUAUUCCCCAUCAUCCACUUUUUGUAUUAAAGCGUAACAAUUUUAAGCUUUAGCUAAUCUUGUUUAGCGGGGGAGCAAAGAAUAUGCUUGCAUUAUCCAUUUUCUUAGGCGGGAAUGGAAAUUUAGGGUUCCAGGCCAUGGCGAGGCUGAGCAGUGGCGCCCAGUUCGCUGAAGGUAUGCCGCAAUCUCCUCUACUCCUCUCUUAUCUCGGAUUGGACUAGGGACUGCCGCCGCUACAGCGCCAGGCGAUUUCCAUCGAGAGCGCGGUGCUUGGCAGGAUUCUUUGGUCUAAAUGGUGCUGCUCAAGAGCAACGAUUUCCGCUGGAAUUUCUCAACGAAAAUGUGUCCGGGGUCAUAGCAUUUGCUCGCUGGGGUCUAUCCAACUAAUAUUCUUCCAGGUGGGAAUAUAGAGUAUAAAGUUCGUGAAUUUCAUUUCUUUCUAGCUGACAUUGGACUGUUUCAAUCAGCGACGUGAAUGGGACUAGUGUCGAACGAUUAGCAUCGAAAUAUGCAGGUAGAUAUCUUGGUCUUCACUUGAUAUCUCACAGGGCGUCCUAAACAAGCCAAGUUGUGUCAAUUCCUACGAUUUCCUGAAAUUCCUGCGAACUUUCCAGGUUUGUCUAUGCGUAACUUGUGUGUCAUAGCAAAUCGUAAUCUAGUUUCUUUCGACGUGGUCUCCUACAGUUAUAGAUGCGAAGACUGGGAAGCUGUCCAUAUACCCAACCACAAGUUCAAGACGAGCGUUGUCCGCAAUUUAGAAAACUCGCACAAUUAUUUGGAUGCGAGCAAGAUCAACGUAAGAUAACGUGAAUUGAUUAUCCGUCUCUAAACACGUAGCCGUCGUUUCAGCUCAUUGUCGCAGACAUGAGAAAAGUUCUUGCCUAUCAUCCAUAAGUGGAGCACGGACGAUUGCAUCGAGGAAAUUAUUCUUCUUGCUCGAAGUCCACAAUGCCCGACUUGCCACUCCUAUUCGCUCUGUAUACAACGAAGCAGAAACUCGCCAGGCGAACUUGUCCAACAAAGACGGCAGGCUGUUGCUCCUCGGAGUCUGGAAAUGUUUCGAUUCCAUGGGAGUUGAUGUUAAAGACAUGAGCUUCCUAUGGAAAAACCUCUAGCAAAGAUCUGGCAGUUUUUCUUUUCUGAAUUUGUUGCUUUGUUUGUAUUUGUUUGUAUACAUCCAAGAGCAUUCAUUUAGUUUAUAUUCCAUCAACAAUUGAGGUGAAAUUCGAAAGACCACCACAUCUUAUCUUCUCCAUCUCAGCCUUCCAUAGCAUCAUCACUUCCCUGUUUCCCGUUUGAAGAUCUUUCUCCAGCUCCAGUGGUGUGAUUGUCGCAUUUCUAGCACAUUUACUUUCUCUCUCGGCUGAGGUUUGUUUCGAACAGGAAAGUCUCAGACACCUUUAAAGCUUCUAUGCUUUCUUCUAACGUUUCCACUCAUCCUCUGAGUCUUCGAAGCGUUUCCAGCCCAGAAUGGACCAAGCCAUCUCAAACUCCGAACUAUUGCGGGGUAAGCUCGGCGCGAUCACCUUCACGAGCUUCUUCAAGGUGGCCUACGACAUUGUGUCGCAGCUCAUAGAUCCUGUGCGUGGAAACCGAUGGUAGAACACGACGGCGCCCUUGAAAUCAGUCACCAGCUGCAAAAACGGAAGCUUGGACGACCUCGCCAGCAGGUAGAAUUCCAGCUCGCAUCUGUUCAAUCCCUGCCGGCUGCUCAGCUCACUGACGACCUCGAUCCCAAGAACAGUGUCGCUUCCAUGCGCAAGAACGGCCGAGCUCUUGCUCCUCACCUCGACGUCCAAGUUGAUAGCACGGAGAACCUCCACUUUGCUGUCGAUCUCCUCCAGAUCCAGCCACCGGUAUGAAGACUGUGGCACACGAUCUCGUGGGCCUGAGCUCGAGGGAGGUGAUGAUUGAUGUAGAGCUCUUCUUCUUCUUGCGUGAUCAAGCCCUGGUGAUCGUGCUCCUUGUCGAUGGCGACGACGUUUGGAUCGUUCACAUCCAAAUGGUAGCGAAAGGUGAGCAUGAAUUUGUGGCACAGCAGCGAGUCUGCGUCGAUCCUACCUCUGGACAGCUUCGCCAUCCAAGCCAGCUCCUUGGGCAGCUUGAUGCCUUGGAUGAUCGCCGCAUUUUGCCGCAUCUUGGCUAUGGUUGGUCCCGACCACGUUCUGCUGAAAUCUCGACCGCCGCCGAACGCAGUCGGACAGCUCCUUUCGGUAAUUCCGUUCAGCGAAAAAAAUGGUGAUCGCGCUCGCAGGGGCUAGAUUUCUGAUGCUGCUGCAGCUAUUGCCAUCACCACUACAUCUUCACUGCUUUGCUGUUCUCCUGCUGCUAUGGAGUGAUCCAUCCAUCCACAAAUGCCCAGCCUAGCAAGCCUACAUAGAAUCCGACGAAGAGGGCUAUUGUAAGCAACUAAAUUUUCCAUUCUACUUUAGUCACUUAACCACACCUCUGACCACUUGGAGGAGUCUCAUUCACAACCUCCAGAAGUCCAAUCCAGGACUUGGGACUUACUAGCCCCGAGAAUGGCAUCCAUGCCACUCAACAUUUGCACUUGGUCCAAGUGCUCCACGUGUCCGAUCCCAUGACCGACACUCAAAGGUACCACCGACAUAGCAGCCCGUUACGCUAAGGCCAUGCCCAAUCACCUUUGCCACACUGGUAGUCCAAUACCACUUGCAUCACAGUCUUGGCUCUCCAAGACUGGGCCAUCUGUCCACGAGUGGUCAUCCUAGAUCCACUCCUUAGCAUCCUUAGGAUGCCCACAAACCGGGGGAAUCGCCUUCCCCAAAGUCCCUUUGUCAGUUCCUACCAAGUCCCUUUCUGCCCCUGGCCGUGUUUGCCAACACUGCCACUGGAUCGAGGCCCACAGGCUCGACCACUAAGUCCCACGGUCCUCUGGGACUUCCUCACCACACGACUGUGUCCUUGGUCACUACCCCAGAGGACUGCUCCUCUUCCUUUCCACAGUCUAGGCCUUUGGGACAACAUUUCGGAACACCGUGGCCUUACGCGAGCCACCUGGGUACUCUCCCCGCCUUUCACCUUUAGGUGCUCUAGCCAUGGGCUUAGAGCGAGGUUUCGUUGAGCCACGCCUGGUAUCCAAGUAGGUAGUGCCACCCACACUUGGACUGGGAGCAUCGGCCAGUCGAUCUCCCGGGGGAACUAGAGCCGGCUCUUGAACACUUCACCAAGCUACCCUGCUUGUCGGUCCGUGUUCACUCUAGUCUUGGACUUCCCAGUGGGCAGCUCAUCACCCAACACUGGGUCCGGCCUUCCUGGGCCAAACUGGCCUUUCCUGGCCAAACUGGCUCCACUGCAGUCCUCCCCCUACUAUACUUUUGGAGCUCACCAAACCCCCCAGGGUCUGGGAGACGAACGCUUUGGGCUUUCACCCUCUCAGGCUCCGGACUCGGACUCGGACUCGGACUCGGACUUGGACUCGGAUUCGGACUCGGACUCGGGCUCGGGCUCGGUCUCGGCCUCGGCCUCGGUCUCGGUCUCGGUCCCGAUCUCGGUCUCGGUCUCGGUCUCGGUCCCGGUCUCGGUCUCGACUUCGGACUCCAUCUCGGACUCCAUCUCGGACUCCAUCUCGGACUCCAUCUCGGACUCCAUCUCGGGUCCAUCUCGGGUCCAUCUCGGACUCCAUCUCGGACUCCAUCUCGGGUCCAUCUCGGACUCCAUCUCGGACUCCAUUUCGGGUCCAUCUCGGGUCCACCUCGGACUCCAUCUCGGACUCCAUCUCGGACUCCAUCUCGGGUCCAUCUCGGACUCCAUUUCGGGUCCAUCUCGGACUCCAUCUCGGACUCCAUUUCGGGUCCAUCUCGGGUCCACCUUGGACUCCAUCUUGGACUCCAUUUCGGGUCCAUCUCGGGUCCACCUCGGACUCCAUCUCGAGUCCAUCUCGGACUCCACUUCGGACUCCAACUCGGGUCCAUCUCGGACUCCACUUCGGACUCCAACUCGAGUCCAUCUCGGACACUUCCACGUGUCAUGUGUUGGUCCUUUUGGGUCCCUUUUUGGAGCCUCGCUUUUUGCUCGCUUCGUGCUCGUUCCUCGAGCACUUCUUUGGGAGUUCCACUCCCACUCUUGACUUUUCAAGUCGGAAACGUGUUACGCUCGUUUGGCUCUCGCUUCAGCCACUACCACGUGGCACCCUUUCCGGCUCCACUUUGGGGCCUAGGGAUUUUGUGUCUCACAACUCCACCACCCAUAGACGAAGUUCGAUGUCCUCAUCGAACAGUAAACCAUUUUGUAAAGUAACACUCGCAUGUGUUACCAUUUCCAUCCUUGGCACCUAGCCAAUAUUUGUCAAUGGUUUGACAUUGAAGGCUCACCAUGCCUUUUGCAUAUGCCUCAAUGGUUUGACACCAAAGGCUCACCAUGCCUUGCCUAUCCUCUAAGGAGGGUAGUCUCCCCAACUUAGAGACUGAUUGGACCACAUGUAGUGGUUCUCUCCUUUUAUUGGUUUAGUUCUCGCUAAACCUCUUAGAGACCCUUCUCUAAGUCAAUCCCACUUACUCCUUCUUGAGUAGUCUUAAUUUCCUUCUAUUGAAUGUUUGCACCUUGGAACUUUUACUCUUUUGACUUUUGGAAGUCAAUUUCCUAGGUGUCUCCAACACCUUGCAUUGCACAGAUCGUGCGACUCCACUUCCCUAUCUUAGGAAGUUCGUUACUUGAGGGCACCAUCAUCCUCUCUUCUAUUUCGUGCCAUCUUAGGCACUAAGUUCCAUUUAUCACACUUUGUGCUAGGGUUGUCCAUCGCCCUAUCAUUUGGCUACCUUACCACUCCCUCCCUUGGAGCUUCCACUUUCGUCAAAUCGGAGCAAUUCGGAAUCCAUCCCUGGAAACACACUUCCUUUCCCGCAAUUUGUUAGUGUCCAACACAUUAGUGUUCCUCGCCUAACUUUGUCACUUGGAUUCCUUCCCAGGGAUUCCACGGCCCUAUCUUGGCCACUCAUCUUUUGCUCCUAUCCGUUGAUUGUUGCACCAAGCAACAUCGAAUCUCUACCUCCCUCCUUGAGGUAUUCUUUUGAUUCCAUAGCAAAGGCUCUACUUUGCCAAGACUAGAGUGUUCACCCCUAGUAAGUCUCUUUUAGCAUCUUCUGCUGUGGGCUCUAUCCUCGACCCAACUUUGUGACCCUCUCAUGGGUCUCUUUAGAGAUUACUUUCCUUGGACACACUAUGCCAUCGCAAUGACAUAGCUCAUUUCCCUAAGGUGCUUUUCCCACUUGGUCACUUUGACCAAGCCACACCAUCAUCAAUAGUUCAAAUCAACACUUUGAACUAGGAACCUUAUUCCUUAACCCAAACAAGGACCUUGUCCUUAUUUAGCCACAAGAUCACCUAGUGAUCUCACCUUGGCACCUUAACAAGUUUGCCAAUAGGUGCUAGGUCUUCCAGACCUUUAACUUGUUAACUACGACCCCGGGGGCAUCCCCCACACUUGGCGGUGCGCCCAAGCCAGCCCUUCCGGCCAAGGGUUCAUAGCAACUGAGAUUAGGUGUCCCCAUCUCACUCACCACGACCUUGGUGCCACUUGCACCAAAGCGUUCAAGUUAGAUAUGCCGAGCUUUCACACUAAGCAAUCUAACCGUGCAUCACGACUCCGAGGCAUCCUUCGCUUGGCGGUGUGCCCAAACCAGUCUCCCCACUGAGAGUCCAUGACCACCGAAAUAUGAGUGUCCUCAUAUUCCAAACCAUCACCACGCCCUAGUGAUUUGGGACUCGAACCCAAGCACUAGAGGGUCGGGACUCGAACCCAACCUCCGUAUAUGCAUCUACGGACGGCAUCACACUAGAUGCCUGGUGUGACUCCCCACGCCGGUGCACCAACCUAUUUUUAAAGCGCGCUAUAGAUCACAGCUUAGGAACCUAGUUCCUCCACAUUGCCAAGUCCUCUCACUUGACAUGUCUGUGAUCAUGCAUGGACUCCUCCAUGCUUGGCCCCAUGGCCCACCCUUUUUGAAGUUAUCACCUCAACUAGGGUAUUUGUUCCCCCGACGUGCCAAUCUUGCUUGGCAAGUCCUCCGACCACUGUAACAUGGUUCCUGCAUAAGCGUGAAAGUCCUUGACCAUCGACUUUCGUUCAAAGCCCUCUCUUUGAACACUCGGGAACUACUUCCCUAACCUUGAUAGCCUUGCCUCAUGGCAAGCUUCAAGACCACGCUUCUGCUGCGCCACUCUGAUUUCGCGCAUUCCAUGAACCAUUUACACUUGGCCUUUCUAGGUACUACGCUACCUAGAAUCGUCUUUGGGAACCUUGAAGGAACUCUGUCCCUCAGCUUGCUAAGGCCUCCCCUUUCGCAAGCUUUAUAGUUGCCAUAUAGUCUAACAUGGACAAUUCCAUAUUUUAGACUCUCCAUGGCAUCACGGUUGCUAGCAACAACAUCCUCGAGCACCCUCUUGAUUCUCCACUCCCAACUUUCAUAACCACUGUUGGAUAUGCCCUUUGAUUUCUAUGGUUCAGUUCCAUCCCAAUACUACUUGCCUUUGGCUUCACACCUUUCCUUCGGUCAUUCUCCUCCAGACCAGGAGGAUAGCUUUGCACUUUCUAUCAUGCCUUAGCAAGUAUUCUUAGGGAUGAACCUACCCAAUAGCCCAGGGAGUGGUUCCUCAAUCCGGGUAUGCUCAGCUUAUAAUCCCACACACUAGGAUUACAUUGUUGCUUAUGGGCCUUUACAUGCCCAUCACUAGCCUUGCCAAAAUUCCAUUUUUGGCUUUGUCCAACUUGGGUAGACAGUCCUCUCCUGUCUCCGCAACCUUGGACAUUUGGAUAGCACCUUCUAUCCAUCAUUCGCUAGGGACUUAGUCCCUUGGGCUUUAUCCAUUGCCCUCGCGACAUCAAACACCACCUUCUAGUGUUCUAGAGUGUCCGGGUGUCCCAAUGAUGGCUUUCUUGACAAUGAGUAUUUCCUUUUAUGACAUUGACUUACUAUAUCGCAACACAAGCAACUUAUCCCCCGUAAGGGUAUAUCCAACUUCCUUAUGCUACUAAGAAGUCUUGGGUAGCUACCUUCUACCCGUUUAACCAGUUAUUUUGCACCUCUUGCUUAGUUGCCUCAUAGUUGUCAAGUCCUACAACUCAUUGCUUGGUGCUUUCACACCUCCAUCAUUAUUUGGGUCACCACACUCCAACUGCAUGCUCUGCAGCUUAGGCUAUGCCAUUCCCAUUUCCGUUGGGAUUCCUUUGGCAAGGGGUUCUCAUGAACCCACCAACAUAGCCUCAAGUUAUCACACCUCGGCACAUUUGGUGUCUCCACAUCAUCGGCUCCACGAGCCUACCUCUAUGACAUUUCCCCUUCGUGUCUAAGUCUUUGCCAAGACCAACACCGCUCUUUCUCAUGCCAACCAUCUGUUAGCACUGCCCCAUAGAGGUCACACACAACUUUAUGUCAAAGUUGUUUUCUUCUGGGAACACCUUUCCCAUAACUUUAGCAUGGCAUAUUUUGCCAUCGAUGAGAUACCCUCUGUUCUCAUCCUUGGAUCUUAUGAUCCCCCCCCCAUCCUUUGUGGGGUACAACACACCUCAGUCCAAAUGCUUCCAUCAGUCCUUUUAGAACCAUCCCUUGACUCUACUUGAGUCAUCCAGCAGUUUUGGACUUGGUUGAUCCACAGACCCGUAAGGUCCUACUUGUGAGGCACUAGCUCACUGGAAUACACUUCUUGCAUUCCUGUCCUACUCAAAAGGGCUAUUUUCACAAGUGUUACUCCGACACUUGAUUUUGUUCUCUGGGGGCAACUUUUGCCCCUUAGGACUACUUGUCCAUGCGAUGGGAAUACCACUCAUCUCUAAGUACACCCCCCAACUCCUUGGGUUGUUCCAGCAUUUAUUAAAGGUAGCCCCGGCUACCAUUUCAAGGACUUGAGUCCUCUCCCGUAUUUGACCUUCCACGGUCAUUACCUUUGGUCUCACAUUCAUGAGCACCAACCUCAACUAUAUGAGGAUAAUCUUGUGACUCCUUUAUUGUUUUGGAGUCUCUAUCUUUCCCGUGAUCCCAACUUUAGUUGUUUACCACAACAACCUUAGCCAAUUUGCUGAGACAAAUGCUCAUCCGGAUCACAUCCUCAACUCAAUGAGGAAAACCUUGCACUGUUCCCAAGAUCCCAAAGUCGUUCCAUUAUUGGCCCUUUUCUAUCCACCACCUCGUCUACAAGUUCACACAUGAACUGUAAUGGAGAGCCAUGUCUUCCCGACUUGCUACUCCUCAAGGAUAGGCCCACUCCUCGGACCUUCCGAUGCCAACACUAGUGGUGAUAUAUUUGAGCACCAAUAAAAGUCGGACUAAGGAACAGCUCCGAUACCAAAUUGUAAGCAACUAAAUUUUCCAUUCUACUUUAGUCACUUAACCACACCUCUGACCACUUGGAGGAGUCUCAUUCACAACCUCCAUAAGUCCAAUCCAGGACUUGGGACUUGCUAGCCCCGAGAAUGGCAUCUAUGCCACUCAACAUUUGCACUUGGUCCAAGUGCUCCACGUGUCCGAUCCCAUGACCGACACUCAAAGGUACCACCGACAUAGCAGCCCGUUACGCUAAGGCCAUGCCCAAUCACCUUUGCCACACUGGUAGUCCAAUACCACUUGCAUCACAGUCUUGGCUCUCCAAGACUGGGCCAUUUGUCCACGAGUGGUCAUCCUAGAUCCACUCCUUAGCAUCCUUAGGAUGCCCACAAACCGGGGGAAUCGCCUUCCCCAAAGUCCCUUUGUCAGUUCCUACCAAGUCCCUUUCUGCCCCUGGCCGUGUUUGCCAACACUGCCACUGGAUCGAGGCCCACAAGCCCGACCACUAAGUCCCACGGUCCUCUGGGACUUCCUCACCACACGACUGUGUCCUUGGUCACUACCCCAGAGGACUGCUCCUCUUCCUUUCCACAGUCUAGGCCUUUGGGACAACAUUUCGGAACACCGUGGCCUUACGCGAGCCACCUGGGUACUCUCCCCGCCUUUCACCUUUAGGUGCUCUAGCCAUGGGCUUAGAGCGAGGUUUCGUUGAGCCACGCCUGGUAUCCAAGUAGGUAGUGCCACCCACACUUGGACUGGGAGCAUCGGCCAGUCGAUCUCCCGGGGGAACUAGAGCCGGCUCUUGAACACUUCACCAAGCUACCCUGCUUGUCGGUCCGUGUUCACUCUAGUCUUGGACUUCCCAGUGGGCAGCUCAUCACCCAACACUGGGUCCGGCCUUCCUGGGCCAAACUGGCCUUUCCUGGCCAAACUGGCUCCACUGCAGUCCUCCCCCUACUAUACUUUUGGAGCUCACCAAACCCCCCAGGGUCUGGGAGACGAACGCUUUGGGCUUUCACCCUCUCAGGCUCCGGACUCGGACUCGGACUCGGACUCGGAUUCGGACUCGGACUCGGGCUCGGGCUCGGUCUCGGCCUCGGCCUCGGUCUCAGCCUCGGCCUCGGUCUCGGUCUCGGUCCCGAUCUCGGUCUCGGUCUCGGUCUCGGUCCCGGUCUCGGUCCCGGUCUCGGUCUCGACUUCGGACUCCAUCUCGGACUCCAUCUCGGACUCCAUCUCGGACUCCAUCUCGGGUCCAUCUCGGGUCCAUCUCGGACUCCAUCUCGGACUCCAUCUCGGACUCCAUCUCGGGUCCAUCUCGGACUCCAUUUCGGGUCCAUCUCGGACUCCAUCUCGGACUCCAUUUCGGGUCCAUCUCGGGUCCACCUCGGACUCCAUCUUGGACUCCAUUUCGGGUCCAUCUCGGGUCCACCUCGGACUCCAUCUCGAGUCCAUCUCGGACUCCACUUCGGACUCCAACUCGGGUCCAUCUCAGACUCCACUUCAGACUCCAACUCGAGUCCAUCUCGGACACUUCCACGUGUCAUGUGUUGGUCCUUUUGGGUCCCUUUUUGGAGCCUCGCUUUUUGCUCGCUUCGUGCUCGUUCCUCAAGCACUUCUUUGGGAGUUCCACUCCCACUCUUGACUUUUCAAGUCGGAGCUUUUGGUCCAAACGUGUUACGCUCGUUUGGCUCUCACUUCAGCCACUACCACGUGGCACCCUUUCCGGCUCCACUUUGGGGCCCAGGGAUUUUGUGUCUCACAGCUAUAGCCUAUAGGAGCUGCGUGUGUACCGAGCUCUACAGGGCAACACUCUCCAGUCGGUCGGCCUCUGCUUUCGAUUGAGCGUGGAGCAGUUCACUGGGGCCUCACAAAUUGCUUAGUCCGCGACGCUUGAAAUUUUUGCCAUAAAAUGGAAAUUACGAUUCCAGUGAUUUCAGAGAUUUGAUUCUAGCAAUUCUAGCAAUUCUGGCACAAUUGAGCAAUGGUGCCUAAUUGGGCAUGGUCCCAUGUUACCAAGCUCACUCCUUAUGCUUCCGGCAAAAAAGCUGGGUGUUGGAAAUGUAAUUAUUGUGGAAAAAUGUAUGGUAGUCUGCCAAAAUGAAUCAAGGUGCAUUUCACUAAAAUUUUUAGGUAUGAUAUUGAAGUAUGUAAUGUUUUAAAUGUUCCUCUUCAUGUUCAGAACUAAGUUUGCCGAAUGUUUGUGGAGCAAAUCACAAAUGCCCUUUUGUCUUUACCUUCUAUAGCAAAUCUAUAGAGUAAGCAUUUUGAUGGGGCAUCUGUUUUUGGAACUGGUACACAAAAUAUUAAUCAAUCUUAGUCUAUAAGUGCUUCUAUAGGCCAUGAGGGAUCAUCUGCUUUGGUUUUCCUACUUUUAUUAAUGUAAUUUUAUUAGAAAUGUUUUUUUUUAUCAAAAAUUUUUUGUGAACCGUUCGGCCAUUCAGCAUUUUCACAGCCGGUCAAUAACUACGGUCAGCCGGUCGGCCAGUCGGCGGUCAGAACAGUCAGGACCAACCAUGUUUGGAGCUGGUACACAAAGUGUUAAUCAAUCUCAGCCUAUGAGUGCUUCUAUAGGCUAUGAGGGAUCAUCUGCUUUGGUUUUUCUACUUUUAUUAAUAUAGUUUUAUUAAAAAUGUUUUUUUUUAUCAAAAAUUUUUUGUGAACUGUUCAGCCGUUCGACAUUUUCACAGCCGGUCGAUAACCACAGUCAGCCGAUCAGCCGGUUUGCGUUCAGAAUGGUCGGGACCAACCAUGAUCUUGGCAUUGGGGAGCAAGGCAAUGGUGUCGAAAUGGAUGCAGCCGAGCUCCUCAAUCAGCUCGUCCCAAGUGCAAGCCAUCCUGUAGUUGACAGGGAGGGGAUGGAAAACCUCUUCACGUCGAGACGAAGGCGAGAGCUGGAGGGAGAGCUCUGCGGGAUCCAAGCCGCCUAAACAUUGGCAAUGGCAAGCAGAUCCAUCUUAUCAUUGCAAAGAGGAAGACGGAUAUCCGUUGUAUCGGAUUUAUAACCACUUGUAAAGCCCUAAAUUUGCAGAGAUAAUCUAAACUGUUCAAAUCUAAUGGUUUAGAUAAAAGGGGAGUUAAAACAAUUCUCUUUAAAUGGUAAAAUGGUUAUUUCUUUGAGAUACAUUAUUUAUAUAUUAACAUUAACUUAUAAAUGAACAUGGGACUAUUAUUCCCAAUGGAAGAUGCAACAUUAAUCUACAAGAGCUAAACUAGUGUAUGUGGAUCCAAUGCACAAAUUAUGCAAACAACAAAUCAAGUUACCAAAAAUAAUACACUAGUUCUAUAAAGUUAAUAAAAUAUAAAUAUUUAAAAUUAAAUAGUGAUAAAUAUUAAUUUACACUUUGUGAGAUUUAUGAUACCAUAUACUAAUUAGCAUACCUAUAUCUUUGUAUUAGGCCACUGGUAUAUCAAAAUAGUAUCAAACUUAGUUGUAAGGAACCAACUCCCCAAAGUAUUGUAGCUAAAGGAUCCCUGAAAACAUGACCAAAAUGAUAAAGAGUUCAUCCAAUGAGACCGAGUCUGAGAUCAAGUCCAAGACCGACUCUGAGACCGAGUUUAAGACCAAGUUCGAGAUUGAGUCUGAGACCAAUUCUGAGUCUGAGUUUGAGACCGAGUUUGAGACCGAGUUCGAGACCAAGUCCGAGAUCUGAGAUCUGGUCUGAGGCUGAGUCUGAGAUCGAGUAUGAGAUAGAGUUUGAGGUUAGGUCUGAGAUCAAGUUUGAGGUCAGGUCCAAGAUCGAGUUUGAGACCGAGUUUGAGGUCGAAUCUAAGGUCAAGUUCGAGAUUAAGUUCGAGACCGAGUCCGAAUACUAAUAUAAGUGGUGAGGUGAAAGCCCAAAGCGUGUGUCUCCCGGGGGGGGCUGCAAGGGGUUCCAAAAGUAUAGUAGAGAUAGUGAGGUCUAGGAACCAAUCUUGAAAUCUUGAAGGAACUCUCUAAUAGUGCUUCCAAAUUGACUUCAGGUUGAUGGGGCCCCUUUAAUUUGGAGCCCAAUCCCAACCCCUUUGGGGGGGCCCAACCGGGGGGAAAAAAAGGGGGGCACAAACCCCCCAAAAAACCAAAAAAAUUUUUCCGGGGGGGGGAAAAGCCUUCCCCCCCUUUUUUUUUCAAACAUUUGGGGAACCCCCCCCCCCCCCCCCCCCCCCCCCCCCCCCCCCGAGGAACACAUGCUUUGGGCUUUCACCUCAAGCCUCCCUUAGUACCAAGAGUUAGUCUCUGGGACAAGCUUGAAACUUACUAAAUAUGGAAUAUCCUUAGAUUGCAAAUUUGGACAUGGGACGAACACCAUUGUAUUCAGGCCAAUCUCUACAUUCCAUAGAUAUGCCAAAUGAGCAAAUCUAGACACUUUCCAUAAAUAGCAUUUGGGACUGAAAUGAGACUAACACAAAAGGAAUGAUAGUGAGGGUGUUUGGCAAACACAGUAAGCUAUCAUCCAAUGAUAUUGAGGGACUAGUCUCAAUACGCGAGGGUUCUUGCCAAGCUAGUGCAAAACAGAACAAAAGAGAACUAAGAGCAAGGCUGAGAAUGCUCAGCUAGAAACACAUAGGAGUUCCUACCUUAUGUUCAUCUGGCUAAGUACAAAUGCUAAGCCCAGUAAACUAACACUUGGACAAAAGGGGCUAUUGAAGAAAACUAGCAAUACCGACCUCCUGCCAUCAUGGCAAUAAGGAAAGAAUGCCCGUAAGGACUAGCCAACAAGUAUCUUUCAAUACCCGAAGUUACAUUUGCGACAGUUGAGACUAGGACUUAGAGGCCUUACGUAGGAGUGAGCAUAGACUCAGGUGGUGCCAGAGGGGCCACCCAAAGAAAUGCUCAACAAUAGCUCCCAUUCCCAAAAGGGAAACUGACUACGGUGCUCUAGGCUCAUGUGGAAUGGUGCCCCACUUGAGUACCUUGUGACUCAUUGGUCCUCGCGCUUAGGCCUUCUAUUUGAGAUGGAAGUGGGGGAGCAGAGGUACCCAUAUCUGGCUAUUAGGCCACGGUGUCUCCCCCCGAUACCCUAAAGCAAGUGUUGCACCCAAAGUUUGAGAUUUAGAGGGUUCUAUGAUCAAGUCUUGUUAUAUCAAGGGAUGUUAAGAACCUGGAGGCUUGGUGUGCUUGGUUGCUUAUGCCUACGGAGAGUGUAACUAAAUCUUAAGUCCAAUCUAACCCGAGGAGGGGGAUUGGGAGAGAUUUGGGAAUCCAUGAAUGGAUGGCUAAUGCUCCAUUGCUCAUGUAGUGAGUAGCUAAAACUAAGAAAGACCAAGUAGGAGCUAGUACAAUAGGUAGGAACAUUAGUAAGGGAACUUAGCUAAGGCCAAGAUAGUGUCGGUCGAAUAGACAAGGUAAGCUAACAAAUUGAAAAAGAAAAAUUUGUGGCUUACAAUUUUGUAUCAGAACCUUUUCCUUAGUUCUAGCGAAGGAUAAAGGUAGAUUGCUAGGAAAUGGCAAAGGCAGGGUGUAAAAGAACCAAGGUAGAGAUGGAACCUCCUCCAGAGCUGGAACCUCCGAUUGAACAAAAAGCUAUGAAUGAAGAAUCCUUGCAUGAGGAGGACUCUAAUGAGGAAGCUUCCAAACAGGAGUCCGAUAGUGAGGUUCAAUCAUUCAAUGCUCAAUUGGAUGUUCUAGAAGGACAAUUCACACAGACAAAUGCCUUGUUGGAGACUCUUGUACGCAAGUUAAAGCAUGACGAGAAGUGAAAGAAAAAGAAAAAUAUUACAAAUGCUGGCAACGUAGAAGGCAUGGACCCUUGGGCAGGGACUGAGGCAAAAUCGAACAAGAUCAAACAAACUAAACUGGAAUUAGUUCCUCAAGCAGUUCCUAAGUACAAACCAAAGCCCCCACCGGUCUUCAAGGGAGUGAACGAGUAUAAGGUGGUGGAGGAUUGGUUUAUGAUAUGGAGGAUUACUUUCGAGCAUUGUAGUUACCGAGCUCAGAGAAAGUCCCAUAUGCUAAACCAUACAUGGCAGAUAAUGUUAAGUCUUAGUGGAGAAUAACAAAGGCCAACAAAGGACUGGUGGCCACUUAUGAAAUGAUGAAGGCGAGAAUCUAUGCAACUUAUGUUCCUCCAAAUGCUACUCUGCACCUAAGGGAUGAAAAGAGUAGGUUGAAGCAGACUAGAACCAUUCAAGAGUAUGUGAAUGUGUUUAUGGCAAAGAGGAUACUUGUCACAAACAUGGGUCAUAUGGAUGCAUUCCAUGCUUUCAUAUUAGGCUUGCAGACCUAAGCUCGAAACGAGGCAAUGCGUUGGAACUUGACUAACUACAAGGAAGCAUUGAAUGCAACUAUUAAGGUGCAUUUCAAUAAUAACCUGCGAAAGGGGAACACAACGGGGUUGGGAUCCACAUUUAGCAAAGGAACUAAACUAAGGGGGACAUAUGGCAAAGGGAAAUUCAAGAAGAGUUUCUCUAAGAAUGAGUCCUCAAGGUUUUGGAAAGGCAGAUCUAGUAGCUAUUAAGCAAGUAUAUAGAGGAGUCAAACAAAAAGGGACAACCCCAUGGAUAAUAAAAUCAAAUCAGCUAGUAGCAUGGGAAACAACAUAUACUUUAACUGCAAUGAAGCAGGACACUUUUUGAGAGAAUGUCCUUACCCGAAGAAGGCCAAAGUCAAUAUGGCUAUUAAGUCAAGUGAAAACAAAAUUGAGGUACGUGAUCCAGUCUCUAGCUCAAAGUUACUCAUUACAUGAGCAACUUUGGUAGAGAGUUAUUCGCGACAUCUAUUAGCCCUUCAAGGGAAGCUCGGAAGUAACUUUGUUAAAAUCCUUAUUGACAUAAGUGUUUUAGAUAAUUUUGUAGCUGCAGACAUAGCCCAGCAAGCUGGACUAAUGGUGCAAUAGCUAUAUGAAAGAACUAUAGAGUUUUUUCAAGGUAGCCAAAUCACCGAUGAAGUACUUCGACAAACAAGAGUCAAAGUAGGGACAUGGAAAGUAAACAUGGAUUUCACCGUAUUGGACAUGGGGGGAUUUGACAUGAUCUUUAGGAUGCAUUAGUUUAAUCAGUUUGUGGUAGCCUUGCAUGGACAAGAUAGGAACCUUGUGGUAUUGGUGAAUGCCUGGGGAGAACGAUCUAGGGUGGAGGCCCAAGAUCAAAGAUAGGGCAAUGUAAGGCCAAAGACUCCUGCUUGAAUCUGAUGUCCACGAGAGGACAACUCACUAAAAGAACCAAAGUAGCAUUUUUGUGCUUACUCUCAGUGAAGAGUGACAAAAAGAUAGAAACAUAAAAAGUACCUUUAGUGAUUUAGCAGGUGUUGGACCAAUUUCAAAAUACCAUGUCGGAGGACUUAUUGGCAGGGUUACCCCCCGAUAAUCGAUAGAACAUAAAAUUGAGUUAGUCGAGGGUAUUAAGGCGAUGGUUCAUCCCCCCUAUCAUUUGAACGAAAAGGAACUCAAGGAGCUCAAGUGCCAAUUAAAAGAGUUGGUGAAUAAAGGGUAUAUUAGGUUGAACAAGUUGUUAUAUAGGGCGUUAGUGUUAUUUGUGAAAAAGAAAGAUGGAUCUAUGCACAUGUGCAUAGAUCACCGGUUGCUCAAUAGGUGUACAAAGAAGAACAAGUACCCUUUAUCAAUGAUUGAGGACCUAUUUGAUAAGUUGGGAAAGGCAAAAUACUUCUCGAGGAUUGACCUAAGGUUAGGAUACUACCAGAUCAAGGUAGCAAAGGAAGAUGUCGAGAAGACAACCUGUCAGACAAAAUAUGGGAGUUUUGAGUUUCUAGUGAUGCCCUUUAGGCUGUGCAAUGCGCUAGCAAUGUUUUCAGUGCUGAUGAACCAUAUUUUUGUACCCUAUCUGGAUCACUUCAUGGUUGUUUAUAUUGAUGACAUCCUAAUUUAUAACGAAACGCUAAAGGAGCAUGCCGAACAUUUGACAAAGGUGUUUAAAAAACUAAGGGAAUAUAAAUUGUAUGCUAAAGAGAGCACAUGUGACUUUGCUCAACAAGAGGUAAAGUUUCUCGGGCAUGUGGUGGGUAAGAACGGGCUUAAGGUGGACCCUGAAAAGGUCUAUGCAAUCCAAGAAUGGGAGUGACUAUUGAAUAUACAUGAGUUAAGCGCAUUUUUAGGGCUAUGCAACUACUACUGAAAAUUUAUCAAAUACUAUUCGAGAGUACCCCUACCUUUAACGAACGAAACAAAAAAAGGGAAGAUGGUAUGGACAGUGAAAUGCCAUCUCACAUUUGUCCACCUCAAAGGGAAGUUGAGGAAGACUCCCAUGUUGGCAUUACCAGACUUUGGUAAGGACUUUGAGGUAGAAACAAACACUUUAGACUUUGCGUUAGGCAUAGGUUUGAAACAAGAUAACCAUCCGGUGACAUUCUUCUCAAAGAAGUUGGACAAAGCUCAGCGAAAGUGGCCUGCCCACGAGAAGGAAUUAUUUGCAGUGGUCAAGGCACUCAAAGAGUGGCGACACUACCUUAGGAGACACUUUAAAGUUUACACAGAUAAUGUGGCAAGAAAACACUUGUUGUCACAGCUCGACCUAAAAGGAAAACAAAGUCGGUGGGUCAAUGCUUUGGCUGAGUUCAAUUGUGAGAUUCUGUAUAAACUUGGGAAGAGUCAAAAAGCAAGUUUAAAGUUGGCGAUAUCUAGCAUGAUAGCAACCUUUUGGGAUAAUGUACAGAUAGCAUAUGAGAAUGAUUGUCUAGCACAAGAAGUGUUGCUAAGGAACCAAGAGGCACAGGAUGCUCACCAAAAAGGUGAGUUGCGGACAAAAGAAAAAAUAGGUUAUGCAAAAUGCAAUGGACUCAUCUAUUAUAAACAAAUGAGGGUGUAUGUUCCAAAAGGGGAACUACGGAAGGUAGCAUUAGAAGAGUGUCAUGAUAAACCUCUUGCGGGAUAUGGUGGAGUGCCCAAGACGAUGGGCUUACUCAAGAGGAAGUAUCACUGGCUAGACAUGGCUAAAGACGUCCAAGACUAUGUAAAGAUAUGUCCAACAUAUCAAUAAGUCAAAGCCAUGACUAAGACUAGUGGGGGCUUGUUACAAAGCAUUCUAAUUCCAGAUUGUCCGUGAAAAUAUCUUACAAUGGACUUCAUCACGAAACUCCCUCAAAGAAAGGGGUUUGAUACGAUAUACGUAGUGGUGGAUUAGUUUUUGAAAAAUGAUACAUUUCAUACCCACCACAACAAAAGUGGAUGCAAAAGGUGUGGCAAAACUAUUCUUCGAACAAAUGGUUCGAGUGUAGGGAAGGUCAAAAGAGAUUAUCUUAGAUCGAAAUAAGAUCUUCACUAAUAAAGGCAAACUAAAUAUGCGAACCAAAAGUGCUGGAACAUAGAGUUUCAACCUAGGAAGAAGGUGUGGCUGAGUACCAAGAUCCUAAGGUUACCAAGUGGGAUCAGCUAGAAGUUGACCCAAAGGUAAAAAUGUAUGUAUUCCUAAAAAUGAAUUAACCUUGAGUUCCUUAAACAAGUUCACAGGGCCUUACGAGAUUGAGGCUCAAAUUGGUAAAGUGGCUUACCACCUCUAACUUCCUCAAAAGAUGGGGAAUAUGCACUAUAUGUUCCAUGUGAACUUACUCAAGUUAUACUUUGAGGAUCUGUUUCACAAAGACCAAGUAAGACCUUUACCUGAGGUUAUCCAAGAGGAAGAGGAAUACGAAAUCGAGCCCAUCCUCAAUGCAUGCAAAAACAAGUGACAAGGACGUGAAGUGAGGGAGUUCUAUGUGAAGUGGAAAGGAUUUCUACACUGCGAAACAACAUGGGAACCAAAGGAGAACUUAGCGAACGUGCAAAAUCUAGUGGAGGAAUUUUUGCAACGUAUAACUCUAUACACUUAUGUAAAGUUCAAUUAAAGCAUUAAUUUGUGAAGUUUAGCAAUGGCAUAUGUUAAGACCCGAAGGCAUGCCAAAGGUAAGCUAAUUAGUAUAGGUUAGCUAAGUCAACCAGGCGUAAGGAACUAUGCCCGACUCCCCACAGGAAUGUCAAAUCCAUAAGCGUAUUUUACAGAGGUUGGGUUUGAAUCCCAACCCCCUAGUAAAGCAAGGCUAGGUUCAAAUCCCAACUCUAUACUAGAGCGUGGUGAGGUGAGGGGUAUAGGGAUAUCUAUAUUCUAUUGUUAUAGGCUCUUGGCCAGGGAGGCUAACUUAGGCAUACCACUAAGUGGGGAGAUGCCCCUAGAGACAUGGUCAACAAGUCAUAAGAUUAAAAAGAGAUGUUUGAUGUAGGCAUUGAACUUCUUCUAUGGGUGGUGGAGUUGUAAGGAACCAACUCCCCGAGGUGUCGUAGGCUAAAGGAUCCUCAAAAGCACAACCAAAAUGAUAAAUAAUUCAUUGGAUGAAACCGACUCUGAGACCAAGUUCGAGACCAAGUCCGAGAUCAAGUUCGAGACCAAGUCUGAAACUGAGUUCGAGAUUGAGUCUGAGAUCUAAGAUGGUCCAAGACCAAGUCCGAGAUCGAAUCUAAGACAAAGUUUGAGGUCGGGUCUGAGAUCAAGUCUAAGAUCGAGUUCAAGACCGAGUCUGAGGUCAAGUCCAAGGUCGAGUCUGAGACCAAGUCCGAAUACUAAUACAAGUUGUGGGAUGAAAGCCCAAAUCUAUAAGCAACCAAAAGGAACGACUCGAGAGACAAUUUAUAGGGUUCAAAUAUAAAGGGAAAAAGCCCAUAAACAAGAGUGCACCCUUUUUUCCAAUCGGUUAAGGGUUUUGGGAUAUUUGGGGUUAAGUGUCUUUGAGUUUGAAUAGUACUAAACUAGGCAACCUCCCAAGAAGUCCAAACUCAAGAACUUACAAAAGCAUGUGUCUCCCGGGGGGGGAGGUUCCACAAGUAUAGUAAGGAUAGUGAGGUUUAGGAACCAAUCUUAAAAGAACUCUCUAGUGGUUCUUCUAAAUUGACUUGAGGUUGAGACUGGGGUUUAGGGGCCUUGGGUGGGAGUGAGCAUGGACUCAGGUGGUGCUGGAGGGGCCAUCCAAACAAGUGCUCAAGAUCAACUCCCACUUCUGAAAGGGAAAUCGACCACAGUGCUCCUUCUUAGGGGUUAGGCCUUCCCUUCGGGAUAGAAGUGGGGGAGUAGAGGUAGCGAUACCAAGCCGUUAGGCUAUAGUGUUUCCCCCCAGUGCCCCGAAGCAAGUGUUGCACCUAAGGUUUAGAAUUUAUAAGGUCCUAUGAUCAAGUCUUGUUGUACCAAGGGAUAUUAGGAAUCUGGAGGCUCGGUGUGUUUGGCUACUUGUGCUUGCGGAGAGUGUAGCCAAACUUUAAGUCCAGUCUAACCUGGGGAGGGGGGUUGGGAGAGAUUUAGGAAUCCAUAGAUGGAUGGCUAACACUCCAUUGCUUAUGCAAUAAGUAGCUAAAACCAAGUAAGACUAAGUAAGAGUUGGUAUAAUAGGUGGGAACUUUAGGGAGGGAACUUAACUAAGGCUAAGGCAGUGUUAGUCAGAUAAACGAGGUAAAUUAGCAAUUUGGAAAGGAAAAAUUUGUGGGUUACAUUAGUUUGGCUUCAUUUUGCAUAUUAGUAUUAGCAUUAAGAUUUUGGAAGCUUUAAGAUUAUUCUAAUGUUACUUCAUACUUUUAUUCCUUCACUGUUAAGCUAUAUGUUCAAGAGUUCAACUCUAUUUCUUCAUUCAUUAGCUUGAGACUUUGAAACUUAGAUCCCACUCUAUUAAUCUUAGUACAUAUGUUAAAUGGUUGGAUUUCACUUUAUAUAGUAAUGCACUAUAAGGUAUAGGAUAAAAAUAUAUUAUAUUAGCACAUUGAAUAUUAUACUAGUUAAAGAAGAAUGCUAUGCUGAAAGUGAGUAAUGAUAUCGAAAGGCUUGGAGAUCUAUGAUAAAGGAAUAGAGCUAAUAUAAGGAAGAAGAGUUGACAUAUUCAAUGAAACAACCCCUAAUUAGACUAAAUGUUCUUGUUUUCUCAAACAACAAAUAUUGCAUCCAUUGUAUAAGUCUAAGAGUGAGUGCAAGCUUAUGAAAGUGAUUUGCAUUAUUAUAAUUCAUGCAAAGUUGGUUCUCAAUCUAACAUCAUUAUUUAGCCUCAGAAAUACACUAUUAACAUAAAGCUCUAAUAUGCCUUACUUAUAUACUAACAAGGGGUUUUGAGAUUAUAAUAUGGAAAAUGAAGUUAAGGAUUCAAUCUUAAAGGAACUCUCUAGUGGAGUUUCCAAACCAUAUUAGGGAUAGGACUUAGAGUUAAUAGCCUUAAGUGGGACAUAAAGGGUGCUAAAAAGGAUUUUCAAGGAAGUGCUCAAAAACAAUUAAAUAUCCCAAAAGGAAAACCAAUUACAAUGUUUCCAAUGCAGGUGGAUUAAUGCCCCAUUUGAGUAAAUUACCUUCUUAAAAGGUCUUUGGAAUGGAAAUUAGGAGUUGAGAUAUUUAUACUAGAUUAUUAUGCCACAGUGUUUCUUUUUGAGGUUUCAAAUUAAGAAAUGCACCCAAAGUUUAGGAUUUAAAGUAUCUCAUGAACAAGCCUUAUUAUACCAAGAGAUAUUAAAAACUUUGGAGGUUUGGAAUUCUUGGCUGCUUGUGCUUCUAAAAAGUGUAACCAAGCCAUAAGUCUAAUAUAAUCCAAAAAAAGGGAUUGGGAGAGAAACUUUAGAAAUCUAUGAAAAGAUAGCUAAGACCCUCUUGCCCAUAUAGCAAGUAGUUAAAGCUAAGUAAAACUAAGUAGAAUUUAGUACAAUAUCAUCUAAAGUGGAAGAUUUUGGCAUUAAUUUAUUUUCCCAAUUUUAUGGUAUAUGAUUUUUCUAAAGGGUUUCUUGUCCAAUGGAAGUGAUUAUAUCAAGUGUUCUAGCAAGUUGAAAUAUAUGUUUAUAACAUUCAAUAAGUCAAUCCUCUAAAAAUUAUGCAUAUGCAAUCUUCAUAAAGAAAAAAUUCUCUUUUGGAUGUUCUUCUAAAUCUGAACCGAUUAAUAUAAAAAGGAAAAAACAAAAGAGAAAGAAUUAAAAAAUCUAUAAAAAAUGGGAAAUCUAGACAAUACAAAAACUAUAUCUAAACCAAAAUUCCAAAUCCAAACACUUCUUAGGAACAAUUAAAGUUACCCCUUAUCUCCACCAAUGUGAUCAUAUGGAUUAUGAAAAUAAAAUAAAGAAAUAUACAUAUCAAUUAGCCAAAAACCCUAAUUUAUAUAUAGAAACAAGUGGUCCAGAUUAAAACCAAUUUAACGGAUUUCAAAAUUCCACUAUCCUAAUAUUAAUAUACAGCAUCGUAACCGUACACUUAAACCUUAUAAUUUAUUAUCUUUUGCUAGUUUUUUUUAUUUAAACACAAUUCCACCUAACUGAAUGAGCAUCAAUCACAAAUGUCAUAAUGGAGGCCCAGAAUCUUGGCAAUGGUGAGGGCCAAGCAUGCAGAUGUCAUUGGAUGUGGUGUUAGGGGGCUCCCAAUACAGCCACUUCAUUGGAGAUGGAUUGCCUAGCGAAAAGAGAAAGAUUGAGGCCUUGGAUCUCAAUGGCAUUCUAUUUGCUACACAAGAAGGCUAAGCCUCAGCCAUAUUGGAGUGACAUUUGCGUUCUUCCCUGCACUCUAGAUUCUCCACUCUUAUGUAACUUCUUUUUUUGAUUCGGAAAAAAAUAAAUAAAACUUAACCACCAUUUCCAUGUCAGAAGGGAGCUCAAAUGUGUGGUAUAAUUGUUGUCAAGCCUUAUUAUUAACAUUCUUUUUUUCUUGGUAAGUACCCAAUUCCAUCAAUGGUUUCAACUAACACCUGAAGUGUGAAUAUGACAAAGUGGUGACAGAGGUGAUUGAGCCAAGCAUAUGUUUUCAAUCAGACUUGAGGCUUUCACCUGGGCUUGUAGGAUACUUUACUCUCAGAUGUUACCACCACUUGUUGGAGAUAACCUCGCCUUAGUACUACUGGUGGUCUUUGUAAGUUAGUCAUUAAUAUUUAGUGUUGAAUUGACCCAGAUAUAUAGUCACAUUCGCACAGGUAGCUCAUAGCUUCGGGCUGACCAAUGAAGGUUCUGGCUGGAACGUAAAGGUUGGGAGUAUUCCCUCGCAAGCAUCUCACACAACACUAAGCUCUUCUCCUUCAGAGACUUUCUUGGUAGGAGAGCUUUGUCAUCUAGGAAGCAGUGCAAGAGGAAAUUUCCUUCACUUCAGUGAACCUCCUCUAGUUUCUCUAUAGGGAUUCUGCCCGCUUGGAAGUUACCAUGAUGCCAAGUAUACCAAGUUCUGCAUGAAUUUCAUGGACUUUAUGAUGAUAAAUCUCGAGAGUUUGGAGACCAGGCUGCUUCCAUGGAACUGUGAGGAGAACCUCAACCUGUUUAGAAGGAUGCUUAAGGAGUAAAUCAAGUUCUAUAAUUUAUCUUUGUUUUUUCCUUAUCUUGUUUCUUUAGGAAUGGGCAAAGAGGUGAUCAGAGGAUUCAAAUUAUAAUAGUAUGAGAAGAUGAUGAAACAUAGAGUGACUUCCAUAGCCACAAGCUUCACACCUCAAAGUUGCAGCAGCACAGGAACGCAUUGGAAUUGAAUGAAGCUCUCGUCCUUUUGUCGCCUUGCAAAUUGACACACUUCUGGACUGCGAAAAGGAGCUUGUAGGUUGAUAACUUAGAAUAAGUUUAAUUAGCUGUUAUCUCUUUUAAAACUUCUUAAUUUGCAAAGCAAGACAUUGUUCAUUCAUAAAAUCAAAUGAAUUAUUUUGUGGUGAUCCAACGAAACCAUGAAAUAAUAGACUCUAACUUGCUUAGUUCUUGAUGCAGUGGUCCUUGCUCCAUUUCCAGCCAAACUGGCAUUGGUGGCACUCGUUGUUGUACCAGUACCAAUUGGUCAGGCAACUCACGCAUUUGCUUCCACUCCACUUCCAUCUGGAGAGGCAUUGGUGGCAAUCGUUGUUAUACCAGUACCAUCCUUUGGGACACUGGAUGCACUUCUGGCCGUCCCAGUUCCAUCCAGAUUUGCAUCGCUUCUGGGCUGUUGCGUUGGUGAUGCCACCGACAUUCUCUCCAACCAGGAGGGCUGUCACAAACAUGGCCAGAAGCAUCAGCUGAGUCCAAGUGAAGACUGCUAUGCACACGGAGUUUACUGCUUCUCCAGCGCGACAUGCCGUGUUUGUGUUUGACUGACGGGGUCAAUUGACUGGUGUACAUGCCGACUAUAUCCAAAUGAAACAGUCUCGAAGUCCCGUGAAAUGAUCGAAAAUAUCUCAUUAUGAUUGAUCAUUACUUCACAUGGAUAUGGAUUUAUUUGCUAACUGGACAUACGUAUUCCAAGAUAUGAUAAUAUUUUCUAAAGAUUGACACGCUUAUAUGUGUGUAUGCAUGAGGCCUAUCAACAUCUAAAGUAUUAUUUUGUGAUACUUACAAACCUUUAAUAAAUUCAAUAUUAGAGGAAGAAGUAUCAUAUGAUGCUUCUACAUGUAGAAAAAAAAGGAAGUCAGAUCCACUUAAAUCACUUAGCUAGAAAAUGUCAAACUGAAGAAUAUGUCAAAACUGAAUCAUCACUUAUUUUGUUAUCACAGUUUUUAUUUUUAUUUUUUAAUUUGUUUUUUAAUUUUUGGGGGGGGGGUCCAAUGUAAUGGAUGUAACCUCAAUCAUAAGCAUAAGUUGACUUACUGGUGGAGCACGAGAGCAGGAAUAUGUCAGAAUCUUCAAUUUAGAUAAUCUGAGCCCAUGCUAUAUACAAGGUCUGGCAGCGCCCUCAAGAAAGAAGCAUGAGACCAAAGGAUUUCAAAAACAUCAAGAUGAAAUGUAUUGUGGUUUUGGUCUCACUUGUCCUUGCUUCCUUAAUAUGCAUCAACGUUUGGGUUCCAAGAAUGAUAAAAUCAUCGUCAUCUCCCGGUUAUUACUUUCCUGAUCUCGCACAAGAUCACGGUUCUACCUGCUGGGAGGUGAGUUACUACGCUAUAAACAACGAUCCAUUCUACAAGUGGGCAAUUGGCUCCUCACUUCCAAUGGCACUUAAGCUCGACGAGAAAGGCACUCUUGGCUACCAGCGGGCAAGUGUAUGGAGAAUCUCUGGAAUGAAAGAUGCCCGAUCAAAUGGUACAAGCAUGUUCAACUCUCCAGAUCCCCACGUUCUAGGAGGAGUCUUUCACCGUGUAAGUAAAGGUUUGGCUUGGGAGAUGUCUAUCAACUGGGGGAUGAGUGUUCGACUCUGCAUCACUUUGCCCAGAAUGACUGGCGACCCGUGUCUCUUCACUGCUCCUGUAGUUUGGACAAACAAGCUCCAUGCAAAUGGUACGGGCUCUUAUGCGGUCCUCAUGGUGGGCGUUCCGUACAGAAAGGCUUCGUCACACAUGUUUUCGGUUAGCAGCAGCUCCCUGUAUUUGCCCUGGGGAGAUUACUUGACCAACUUUGCAAGUAACGCUAGAACUCAACUUGGGCUCACGAUUGACAAAGGCAAGGGAAACAACGUUAACAAGUAUGUGUACCAAGGAAACGUAUGUGAAGCAUCCAAGCCCGUUUUCGUCAUUCCGGAUGUAAUAUCGUAUUUGGGAUUUCCAACCCAUCAGUGUGGCUGUGAUGGGAACGUUUGCAUCAUUGACAGCAACUUGACGCAGCUGUCAGAUUCGGACCAAGGCAUAUCUCCUUUGAAGCUGAAUUCUACGAGCUGUAGUAGCAGGACUUCCACUCUUUGGAAUCUUGAGGGCAUAGUUCCAAUGUUCUCUACAUACAGCCUCAAACGAAACGGAUCAUUCACUUUUGAAGUGACAUUUAGCUCUGGUUCAGCUGUAAAUUUUUCAGAGGCGAUGAAGGACGUUAACUAUGGGAUCAUAAAGAACGUAAGCUCGUGUGUUCAGGGAUGGCUGGAGCAACAGCCGGUUGAAAAACCUCUUACAACCAUCUCCCAGGACUGUUCCCUUCAAGGCAUGGCAAACCUUGAUUAUCACAGCGAUGAAAUGAUGUUGCGAUUCCCACUUGCUGCAUCGGGGAUGAGAGAGACGUUUGAUUAUAAAGUUCCCAUUGGCAACACACAAGAGGACGUUUACUGUGGCAUGGAUCAAGGACAAGUAGCACUGACCCAGAACUUGUGCAUGCUAAGCAUGACGAAGCUCAAGCCCUCGGGAGAAAUGUCAAUGCUAGCACAGCAACUGGAUGUCUUUGCAAACGUUGCGGACAUAAAGAGGUUCGCCCUCAAUGAAUGGGAGAAGGGGUCUUCAAAGAGAGCUCGAGUUCUCUUUGAGAUCUUGGUGGCAAUCUUCACGAUCGGGGCCACAAUCUGGGGAAUGUUUGCCAAGUCAUCGGAGAACUUUGAGAAGUCGCUCAUCAGAUUUGUUUGGACAGAGUUUCAACUUUCAGUGCUUAGAACAUUUGCACGGGCCUUAAUCCUCAUUGGAGUGAUGAUAUGGAACACAUUCAGCAUCUUUCAGAUGAUCAAAGAGGUGGAACUAAAGCGUUGUCUUGCCACCUCUGGAACAAUCAUCCAGGAGUUGAACGGUACCAGCUUUUUGAUCACCACCACCUCCACUAUUGAAGUGAUGCCCAAGUGGUCAAUCUUAUUUUGGGUGUGCUCACUGGAAUUUGUUAUCUUUGUGGCAGCAGUCGUUCUAAUCUUUCAUAGAUUGCGCAAAUCCGAAGAGCUUAAGACUGAAGAGAUCAACUUGUAAUGAAUAAUAUUUUCUGUUUGUAUUUGAGUAUAUGUUUAGAGUAGCGGAUUAUCAGAAUAUAAAUUUAAGGAGAAGCUAAAUUAUUGUAAUGUGGGAUGCUACGAGUUCUUGCUACUCAACUACGAAGUCUUCUUCUUCUUUUUGUGAUUCUUCAACUCAGCCUGGCAAAUCCUUUGUCUGAUUCCAAAUCGAUUACGAUUGAAAGAGGUCAUCCAGCAUCUCCAGGUCGAUCACCAGCAUCUAGAUGACAACGAUUACGCUUCUCUCCUCCGGAAAUGCAUCGAAUUCAAAGCUCUCACUGAGGGCCGCGACCUCCACACCCUCAUCUCCAAGGGAGAGUACGGACAGAGCUCCUACCUUUGCAAUCUCCUCACCCAGCUGUACGGGAAAUGCGGCCACCUCCAUGCCGCGAGGGGAAUAUUCGACUCCCUGGGUGAGAGGAGGAACGUUUAUUCCUGGAAUAUCAUGAUCAUGGCAUAUGCCCAGAACCGUCUGGAGGAGGCCAAGGAGAUCUAUGACCAGUCGCCACAAAGGACCAUGGUGACGUAUAACACAAUGGUCACGGCAUAUUCCCAGAACGGGCAUCUCCAGUGUGUCAAGGCCUUGUUUGAUGGGAUGGAGCAGCAAGACAUUGUGUCAUGGAACGCCAUGCUAGCACCAUAUGCCCAGAGCAGGCACGACACCCAGACCGUCGAUCUCUUCGAGUCCAUGGACAUCGACGGCGUCACGCCCAACCACGUGUCACUCAUCUCUGCACUGGACGCAUGCAGCAUGGUCGGGGAGCUGCGGCUGGCAGACACACUGUACGAUGCAGCGCUGACUCUUGGGUGUAUGGGCGACUACAAGGUGUGUAUGGCACUUGUAAACGCGUAUGGCUGGUGUGGCAGCCUGGGCAAUGCCAAGUGGAUAUUUGACCCCCUAAGAGUGAUGAGAUUACAGCCUGGAAUCCUGUAUCUGGUGGGCAAGAACCUCAGCGAUGCCAAAUCACUAGUUUUUUUCCAUGCCCGCGCGCAAUCACAUCUCCUGGAACAUCAUGAUGGUCGCAUUUGGGCGAAGUGGAUUCCAUUGCCAAGCCCUGGAUUGCUUCUGGCUAAUGGAUCUCAAUGGAAUCUCCCCGGACAGCGCCACUUUUGUGAAUCUGUUGGAUUUGUGCUCCACAUUGGAAGAGGGCAAGACCAUACAUGCCUGCACAGAGGAGAGUGGUUAUGCAACCCAUGGUGACAAUUGCUCAAUGCUAUGUGGUUGCAAUUAAACAAUCAAACUCAAUUGAUGGUGACAUUCAUGGCGUGUGGUACAACUCUUCUUGCUCUUGCUACCAACCUCAUAUUUGGCUAAAGUUCUUCUAUAGAAAUCCUAGGGAUGAUGUGUACUAUUGUUUACAGUGAUUGCCACAUAUCAUUCCUGGGACAAUGCAUGGUGUUUGUAUAAGUUUCCCAUGUGUCUCAAAGGGAUGGCAUUGCAAUUGUACAAUGGUCUGAGUGCAUCCACUUGUGCGGAUUAGAGUAUUCUCCUGGAAGUCUUCAAAUAUACAUUUAAAUAUGUUGACAAUUGUGAUGAUGUUUUCUAGCAAUUGCAUCAUCUUCAUUAAGGGUUAUUUAAGUUAAUGAUGCAAUUUAACAUUUGUUUCCAAAGCCUCUUGUUUGCCAAAUAUGGUAGAGUGAAUUAAGUUGGGAAUGUUGUGGCUCUUUCUGAUCGUAUUACACAAUUGCAAAUAUUGUUAAAGUUGUUAAUAAUGUUUUUCAUCUAGUUUAUGAAUUGUGAACAAGUAUUUAUGGAUCUCAAAAAGUUAUUGACGACUUUUCUAGUUUUGGCAUAUCCUAUUAUAUUCAACGUUUCAUUUUGCGUGUGGAUGUUUUUGAUAUCGAUCUUAAACAUGUGUUGAUGUAAAAGAGUUUAAGUGUGCCUAGUCAAUGCCAUCCCAUUGCAUAUAUCACUGCAUAUUACAACCAGCAAAGGUGAACUACUCCACGAUAAAGAAUGAGUAUUUAGUUGGGGUUUUGAGAAAUUUCAUGUAUAUCUACAUGGUUUUCAGACAUUACUAAAAGAUGAUCAUGCUGCAAUUAUUUUGUUAUUAAAGUGGAAGAACGUAGUUAGUCAUACUAUUUGGUGGGCUUUGAAACUUCAGAUAUAUGAUUUUGAUGUUAUUCAUCACCUAAGAUUGAUGUUUUAUGGUUUUAUGGUUGAUGUUGAUGCCCUUUCUCGAGCUCAUUUUCCUUCUUUGCUCUCUUCUUAUGUUUCUAACAAACUUGUUUUAGCAUUUGUGGAUUUUUUGGACAAAUAUUUUGUGCCAUUGGUAGUUGUUGUACUUGAUAUUCCAUGUCCAUAAGGUUAAGUUGUGGAUCUAAAAACUUUGCGUUGGGUUUAAGAAUCUUAUAUCACUUACUAGUGACUUGCCAUUUCAAUAUUUACAUUCUCAAUAUCACCUUGAGGAUGAUAUUUUUUAUUUUGUGAGGAUGAAUCCUGAUGAUCAUUUAUAGCUAAUAGUGUUUUUGAUAUUUAUUCCAUCCUUUCUCUAUACCUACCAUAAUUCUCCUGUUCUAGGUGGGCAUAUAGGACAUCAUUGUGUGACUAAGAAGUUAUAUAGCUCUCUAUUGACCGAAGAUGUAAUAUGAUGUUAUCCAAUAUGUGCAUAGUUGCAUUUAAUUCCAAACUUGUAAAACUCCCUCUCAUUUUGUAGAAGGAUAGUUGAAAUCAAUUGUAGUUUCCCAUAUAUUUGAGUUAGUGGCGUUUAAUCUGAUGGGGCCUUCUCCAAGGUUGACUAUUGGUAACGAGUAUGUCAUUAUUGUUUCUAAUCACUUAACUCAUUAAGUGGAAGUUAAUGCUCUUGCUAAUACAUCUACAACUGCUGUUAAAUACUUCCUCCUUAAUCGAGUGGUAUUUUAGCAUUUAUGUCCGAAGUGAGCUCUUUCAGAUAAUGGUUCUAUAUUUAUGGUUAAGGUAUUUCAUGUUUUAACAUCUCAAUUGGGAAUAUGCCACACUUUCACGAGUGUUUAUCAUUCACAAUCAGAUAGUUUGGUGAAAUGGCUCAUUCGAACCUUCAAAGGGACGAACUACCAAUAAUAAUCUUGGGAUUAAUAUUUGUGAAGCAUUAUUCCACUGAUCCAAGUAGAGUUUAUUGAACACUUAGGCCACUUACAAGUUGUAGCGCACGUGGUUUUGACCCUUUAUCCUAUGGUGAUUUACCAUAGGAUAACACCACGAAGCGGAACCUAAACCCUCUUUGUGCCACGUGACAGAUGCCACGUGUCACAUACCACGUGUCCAUGCCACGUGUCCAUAGGAACCCGAGGUUCAGGGCCUUGGGCCACUGAACGAAGGAACGGUGCCAAACUCCCAAGCGUGACGCCAAGGAGUGAUGAAACCGGACCACGGAGCAACUCCCGAGCAUAUAGCCCAAGGAGCGAGGGACAGGGGCCCGGAGCAACUUGGAACAGUCCUAGAGCAACCAGCAUCCCAAUGCCAGGACCAGCACGCAAAACGGAGCCAAACGGAGUCUGGCGCUAUUUCGGCAUACCGGUGGCCUAACGUGAGAAUAUGGGUACUCCACCAGCUAGCAUGGAAUGGAACUUGGGCUUAGACCCAAGCCGGACGCAGAACAAGGACAGGCACACAAGCAGGAGCUAGACUAUGCCUCAGGUUGGUCGGCCAUGCCCGACCUACCCACUAUCCCUACUAUACAUUUGGAACCCCCCAUAGCCCCCCCCCCCCCCCCUUGAGGAACACACGCUUUGGGCUUUCACCCCAAGCCUCCCUUAGUAUCAGGAGUUAGUCUCUGGGACAAACUCGAAACUUACUAAAUAUGGAAUGUCCUUAGAUUGCGAAUUUGGACACGGGACAAACACCAUUGUGUUCAGGCCGAUCUCUACAUUCCAUAGAUAUGCCAAAUGAGCAAAUCUGGACACUUUCCAUAAAUAGCAUCUGGGACAAAUUGAGACUAACACAAAGGGCAUGAUAGCGAGGGUGUUUGGCAGACACGGUAAGCUAUCAUCUAGCGAUGUUGAGGGACCAAGCUCAAUAUCGCGGGGGUUCCCAACACUAGCAAGUGCAAGUCAACGAAUGAGUUUCUCUAACCAGGUCAAGUAUGCUUGACUAAUAGCACUUAGGAAUUCCGUCCUUAUGCCCAUCUGGUCAAGUGCACACGCAAGGACCAGUUUCUCAACUAGCUUAGGCGGAGACUAAUAACGGGUCCAGCAAUACCGACCUCCUGCCAUCGUGACAGUAAGGUAAGAGUGUCCGUAAGGACUAGCCGACAGGUAACUUUCGAUACCCAAAGUCACAUGCGCGACACUCUCCCCCCCUUGGGAAGAUCGACAUCCUCGUCGAUGCAUACUCCAGUCUAGAAUACCGCCAAGGAAACAACUCCAUAAAAAGUUCACGGUACUCACACUAUGUGAGAAAUGCACCAACUUAAAUGAGUUAGGGGGCAACCUCUUUGUCUAACGCAGAUGCGCUACCAGCUCAGACACCUUCCGGCCGUCGCCGACAAGGAAAUGACCAACGGAGUCAGCCACCCCUGCUGCUCUGGGAGUCACCCAGCUGACAAAAGUGUGAUAUGCCCUGCCCGCAGAGACAUAGAGAGAGAAGCCAGAGGCCCCAACCCUCCUGAGCAAAGAAACCAAACCCGUCGGUAAGGUUUAGAUAGACUACUGUCAACAGGCAGUUUAGAGUUGUUUACACGGUCACGCCCUUUCACGGAACAAGGAACAUCGACAAAGAGGCGGGUUAUGUGACCAGUCGACAAUAGCUACCCCAUGACUAGAGAUUUCACCAUGCACACGAAGUGCCGAAGCCAGUCUGCCUAUACUGGCCCAAACUCAAAGAUCAAUAGAUGGACAAUAUCAAAGUCAUAGACAAUGAUAUCUUAGAGAUUUAAUUAUCAGUGAAUAAAGCUUAGAUUAGAACACAAAAGUAUUCCAAGUAAGUUAUCAUCCGAUAAACCAGUAGUAUUGUAGAUAGGACCCACCAAGAUCAUCAUAAUUGGUAAACAUAGGAAUCACCAUCUAACAAAAUUGAAUAGCAAGUAUAUCAUCAAGGAAACGCAAUGAUGAAACUUAACUAUCGAAGAUAGUAGACAGUAAGCCAACAACUUACUAGAGAGAACUCAAAGAACAUAAAGUAUCAUUGACUAACAAGCACAAUGCUCGCGAAUGUAUCACCCAAAGGAAAUAACAUCCAAAUCUAUCAAAACUAACUCGAGCAACAAUCAACAGAACAAAAUGAAUGUUGCAAAGCAAACAAACGCUUGUUCAUAUUAACCAUUACACUAGCCAAUCCGAAUAGAUCCCAACCAACAACACGAAGGAACUCAAGUUGCCUAAGCAAGUGUUAGCAACAUCCUACGGAUGUUUCAAACCCAAGAGACCAAUCCAGAGCAAACCACAAAGAAUAUGUGGUAUUGUGAAAAGCCAUAAGCCAUCAAAGAGAACAACUAACUAUCAUGAAAGAUCGUCAAUCAUUCCAUCAAUAAAGAGAUGCAUAAUCAUCGUCUAAGAAGGAAUCCACCAUCCCGAAGAACGGCAAACCAUUCUAUACUAACAAUAAUCAAGCAAAACUUUUUGACAUGGAUAAUCAACUUUCCUAGAUGAUAGUUAAUCAUCACCAAUGAUUGCUAGAUGCAAAAGCCAACUUCAACAUCGAAGCUAAUGAGCCAAAAUGCCUUCCCCAACAACUUCUAACAAAUGGAACAAUGAGCACAAAACUCAAGAACCAAAAGCUCGAAGAAGCCUAUAACUAAGUCUUGCCUAAUAAUGAUCACGAGUCUCAUAGAAGCUAACUUCAAUGCUAAAGAAGAAAUCAUGGUGCAACCCACAAUAUCUUCCUCAACACAUCCAUAAGCCAAACUUCAUAAUGCCAAAGCUAAUGAAGAGCAUUUCUGCAUCAAUCCAAAAGCUAAGCAUAACGAAGCUAUGCUUAACAAGUGAUCACCAAACGAUCCUCCAUGAAUCCAUCUAUAGCAAGACGUAACUCACUUCAUAGCAAGCACAAGAAGAAUCAUCAAUGAUUGAUAUAUUUCAACUAAAAUCCCAUAAGGAUUCAAAAUAUUCCAACAUCGAUCACUAACUCUCCCAUUUGUAGAGUUAGCAUAGUCCAUGACUAAAUCACUUUUCAAGGAAAAGCUCAAAGCUCAACCCCUACUAAAUAAUCUCGUUUAGAACACAACUAACUCAAACUUGCCACUCAGUUCAUUUGAACGUCAACAUAGUUGCUAACUAGCAAACGCAUGAAUGCCAACAACACAAAGCUAAAGCCAAAUCAUCAACACUUUUCAUUAAAACUAAUGAAACUCAAUAUCAAUCCUAAGGAAAGACAUUUCAUUUCACUCAAGUCUCAAUAUCAACAAUAUCAAUGACAAGGCCUCACUUCAAUGCCAUCAACACCAGGACAAAGCUAGAAGGAAGCAAGAGUGAAUCACCACUUGGAGCUUUCCAGCAACCAAGCUAACCAAAGUCGAAGAUACUAUACUUAGUAUCCGAGACCAAUCCUUCAGCAAAACUCAGUGACAGAUAACACAUCAUCAAGGAGUGAAUCACCACAUCCAAGACUCAAUGAAAUCCAACACCACGGACUAAACGUAACCAAAUGAUAUCGACAGAGAUAGAAUCGAUAUACUAACAUAGGAAAGCUAUGCAAGUCUAACGACACGAUCCUCCGCAACACCAUCCGGUAAAGCAAGCCCAUCACUGCUAAAUCAUCAUCGAGCAAAGCAAGUGUCAAUUGUCCUUGAUGAAGUCUACAAGUAAUCACUAGUCGCAAAGCAACUAACAAUCACUCCUCAACUUGCGUUCACAAGACCCAAACACCAACUCAAAUCAUCGAGUCACAUACUCAUCCAAUAUGAACGUAAUACCCCAAGUAUGAGAUAAAAGUUCAUAGACAAGCACAAACUAAAUGACCACUCGAAUCCAACUCAACCGCAAUAAGCCCACUAAUGCAUUUAGUCAAUAGCUCUGAGCAUGCCUUGAAGAGGCUAGCUAUGUGAUCAACACUCAGUCGAAACUCAAGUGAAGACCAUGAGAUGGACUCAUAUCGGUACACAACCUCCUCAUAGACAAAGCUAUAGUACGGGUACCAACAUCUCAACCUCAAACAACUAAGUUGGACAUCACCAUCCUCAGCCAAGGUGCAGGGCCACCAAAACCAAGUCAAGAUCAGUGAGAGCUCACUACUCUCAUAGAGUCUAACGUAAUGCAAGGUGCAAAUUGCCACCAAGCACAAUGCUACAAAAGAAAGGCACAAGGGUCACCUUUCUCAGAAAAGCGCAACAGCCACUUUUCUACACCAACUCUAGACUCUAUCCAACUCAAUUGCCUUAGCCCCAAAAGUCAGCAUCCCUUUCGGGCCGCAUCAUACAAACUACUUACUAAGAUCUAAGCCAACCGAAGUCAACUCCAACCUCUUCACUAGUUUGUACUGGCUUUCGAAAAUGGAAUGGUUUUCGAGCAAAGUGAUCAAUAGAUCAGCCAUUAGAAAGUCUAAGAAAAUUUGUGGAAAAUUUUCCAUCCUAGAGAAAGAAUGACUCUCAAUCCAGAAUUGCAAACUUUCAAGACUCAACCAAUUUCCUCCUACCAACAACUUCACAUAGGCUCACUUCAACACAAAUUCUCAUGAUCGAACAACAUGCUUAAGCAUUGAACAUCUUUGCCCAUUUAACCGUUAUCCAACACCGAUAUCCGCAAAGUGCAAAAUGAACAUCCAAGGCUUGAUCACGAAGACCACUUCUUCGGAUAUCCAUAUUGCACUAACACUCUUCUUCAAUCACCUUCAAGAUCCAAUGUGAAGCCAAAACACUAACAAGAAAAAUGACAUGGAAAAAUCAAGGUCCAAGGAAAAUUCCUCAUCACUUGAAAUAACAAUGCCACUUCCACUAACACAAGUGCUAGUGAUAUCAAUGCCCCAACUACACAUCUUCUCCAUCCAACAAUCUACUCCAAGUGCUAACGGAUCAACCGACAAGCCAUAGCAAGUAAAUGCUAUAACCCUUUUCCAACACUAAUGGACAAACUCAAGGAAACAAGGAACCAACUUAAGCUUAGCAUAAUGAACCACCACCGAGAAUCCAGUCAAAGCUACUACAAUGCUACUUCGUGCAAGUAAACUAACUUCUCCAUCCACCACUUUGGGGGUUGAUCAUCAUUUAUCCAAGCAACUUCGUAAACACAUUGCUCAUUAUCACAUGGAUAUGAUAUAUAAUCACAAUGACUUGAUCAUCAAUCGAGCAACACUACGAGCAUCAUCCAUGUCACUACUACAAAGGUUUACGUAAAUAUCAAGUGUCGACUCAAUUCAAUAAAAUGUAACAUAAAUGCCACACUCCACUGAUAGAGAUUUAUAACACCAAAUACCACCAACUUUUGUUCACAACACAGAUAAGCUCAUGCCACCCUCUUUCUGACCAAACUCAAAACUAAUCCAACACCAAGCUACUCAAGGAGCAAUAGCAAGGUUUCCCGGAAAAGAAUUGAGCAUUGCAACCCAAGUCUUCUAAUAGCAAGCCUAGACAAAAUGGAUUAGCGCUUCACUGCUAUCCAUCCCAUAACUCACCAUUGUAAGACCAUCAUUUCCAACAUGCAUCAAGGUAGGGACUCUUGAUUGCAUAAUGUGAACACAAGCAAUGAGUUAACACCUCAUUGCAAAUCAUCUCUCCUAGAAGAGAAAAUGAUUUACGUAUUUGAUCCUCCGUCCCCGAUAAGUCUCUUUCGGGUCUCAUCUUUGACUAAACCUCAAGCUUGCUUUCGCACUGCCUUUAGUCCAGUCCAAGAAAAGCUUAUGAGAGAGCACGGCAAUGAUUACUUGAACCAAUAGACUAAUCCCUACAGUCUUAAUUGAUCCACUUGUAGUCUUGCCUAGGAAGGAUCCACUAGUGCCGUGCUAAACAGCUACGGACCAGCCUAUUUGCCACUCAUAGCAAACCCAAGGAAAGUUUACUUUCACCCACGGUACAUGAAACAACUCAUGGAACCAACAAUAGGCUAACAUUAAUCCUGCCAACUCAAAGUGUAACCUAGAGUUGCUAAUGUGCCUCACUCACGAGCCCAAGCGCAAACUCGUGUAACGGAACAACUCAGUCCACCUAUGAGCCCAAGAGCAAGCUCACAUAAUAUGGAACAAAAAGGUAACCAAAACCAUACCCAAGGAACGAUUGCGAAGUCUUUGCACCCAAACGUGUACCCACUCGGAUCAUCGUUUUCAUCUCUGCGUAUGCAACGAGACUAGUUGCCCAAUCUCAUUGAAUAGUAUUCGCUGAGACUCAUUCUCUGAUACCAAAUGUAGCGCACGUGGUUUUGACCCUUUAUCCUAUGGUGAUUUACCAUAGGAUAACACCACGAAGCGGAACCUAAACCCUCUUUGUGCCACGUGACAGAUGCCACGUGUCACAUACCACGUGUCCAUGCCACGUGUCCAUAGGAACCCGAGGUUCAGGGCCUUGGGCCACUGAACGAAGGAACGGUGCCAAACUCCCAAGCGUGACGCCAAGGAGUGAUGAAACCGGACCACGGAGCAACUCCCGAGCAUAUAGCCCAAGGAGCGAGGGACAGGGGCCCGGAGCGACUUGGAACAGUCCUAGAGCAACCAGCAUCCCAAUGCCAGGACCAGCACGCAAAACGGAGCCAAACGGAGUCUGGCGCUAUUUCGGCAUACCGGUGGCCUAACGUGAGAAUAUGGGUACUCCACCAGCUAGCAUGGAAUGGAACUUGGGCUUAGACCCAAGCCGGACGCAGAACAAGGACAGGCACGCAAGCGGGAGCUAGACUAUGCCUCAGGUUGGUCGGCCAUGCCCGACCUACCCACUAUCCCUACUAUACAUUUGGAACCCCCCAUAGCCCCCCCCCCUUGAGGAACACACGCUUUGGGCUUUCACCCCAAGCCUCCCUUAGUAUCAGGAGUUAGUCUCUGGGACAAACUCGAAACUUACUAAAUAUGGAAUGUCCUUAGAUUGCGAAUUUGGACACGGGACAAACACCAUUGUGUUCAGGCCGAUCUCUACAUUCCAUAGAUAUGCCAAAUGAGCAAAUCUGGACACUUUCCAUAAAUAGCAUCUGGGACAAAUUGAGACUAACACAAAGGGCAUGAUAGCGAGGGUGUUUGGCAGACACGGUAAGCUAUCAUCUAGCGAUGUUGAGGGACCAAGCUCAAUAUCGCGGGGGUUCCCAACACUAGCAAGUGCAAGUCAACGAAUGAGUUUCUCUAACCAGGUCAAGUAUGCUUGACUAAUAGCACUUAGGAAUUCCGUCCUUAUGCCCAUCUGGUCAAGUGCACACGCGAGGACCAGUUUCUCAACUAGCUUAGGCGGAGACUAAUAACGGGUCCAGCAAUACCGACCUCCUGCCAUCGUGACAGUAAGGUAAGAGUGUCCGUAAGGACUAGCCGACAGGUAACUUUCGAUACCCGAAGUCACAUGCGCGACACAAGUGGGAUAACAAUGAUGCUACAACUCUCAUUAUUGUUCACUUAUAGAGUACAAAGUGGAUGACUUGGUGUUAAUCUAUUUUCUUAAUCUUACGGCACAUGGUUUGUUUAAAGGGCUCUUUGCUCAUUAUAAAAGACUAUAUCGUGUAUUGUGGCAAAUUAAACCACAAGUUUAUGAGGUUUGGCAUAAUGUCCAAUAGGCUGAUCCUUUAGAAACUGUAGCGCAUGUGAUCAUGGGAUGAAAUUUGGAUAUAUUGUCACCGUGAAUCUUUGGAACCUUGGGAGAUAAAUGGGGAUAAAAUAGCCACUAAGGGCUCUCUCAUUAAGCAAUUGCCCUUUUUUCAGUUAGUUUUUCUCCCCGGAAAGAAAUAAGGUGCACUACAUUAAUUAUACAUAUGCAAUAGUUGAAAUGCUUCAUACAAAGGGAUUAGGAAAAAUUAAUAUCACUUAUAGAUCCACUGAUGUUUGUUCCUCUAGAUCUCAGCCUAUCCACUAAAGAAUCUUAAUUAUUUUCCAUCAUUCUAAAAGGAGGGGAUGAUGUGAUGUCCAAGUGUAUGGCUAUGAUGCUAUAUAUUAAUAUUAGUGUAGUGGGAUUUUGAUAGCUGUCAGAUUGGUUUUAAUCAGGACUAAUUGCUCUUGCAUAUAAGUUAGAGUUUUUAGGUUAAUUAAUAUGCAUAUUUCUGUAUUCCAUGCACUUAUAAAACUUAAUAUAUUAAUAAAAUUAUAAUAAAAGUUAAUAAAAUAAAAUAAAAUAAUUAAAUUUAGAAAACAUUAGCAAAUUAUAGUUACAAGAUAAUUAUAUUAAAAAUAUUUUUCUUUUAAAAUAGAGGAAAUUUUUUUUAGCAAAAUUUAUGAUUCUCUAAAUACUAUAUAUCUGGUAUAUCUGGGAAAGCAUUUGAUAAGUAAGUCAUUUAUGAGAAGUUUAUAGUAAUAAUGUUUAGAGUAAGUUUUUAAUUUGCUUAAGCAAAUAAACAUGUGGAUGAUAAUGAAUAUACCUAGAAUAUGCUUGAAUAUUCGAGAAUAUUCUACCAUCUAACAGUUGUUAUUAAUCUAGAUUAAUCUUGUAUUUAUAAAUUAUAAACAAACUUUCCUAAACACUUCCUAGUAUAUUCUAGUUAUUCUACUAUCUAAUGGUUGAUAUUCAAUAAAUGUUUAUAAAUUAUAAACAUGUUUAUAAUUAUAUACUUCCAUUUGAUUAAUUGGAUUAAUAAAUCAGAUUAAACAAGCCAAGCGGUUUUAGAAAAAAUUAAAAUAUAAUUUUAACAUAUAAAACAUUAGUAACAUUUUUUAGUUACUAAUUACUAAGUUCUUCCAAACCCUCUGUAAACUUCACUUGUAUCCAGAGCUCACCCAUUACCACUUGGCUCAAGGUAGAUGUUCUCAAUCCCGCUCCCUUGAAACACAAGCUCGAGCAUGCCUAACUCUUCCCUCUGCCAAGGCCUCCACGAUCUGCCAUCUUACACGUUUCUGUAAGGCAAACUAUUCUAAGCACAUCAUCAAGAAAAUCCUGCCAAACAGCUUGAACUCAUGAAAUCUAUGCAAAAUUCAUUCAGCGAGGUUUGGGUAUAUGCUGUUUACUUUAAACUCUGCCAACUUUGUGAUGGAUUUUCUUAAAGAGAAGAGACAGCAACGGGUAGCAUUUCGAGUCUCAGCGCGCUGAGUUUGUGUUUCACGGGAACUCGAUUCUUAAACAAGACCUUGAUCCCAGCAAAGCCAAGUGGAGAAGUUCUAAUAGAACCUGCAGAUCUUAACAGUGUCUUAAGAAGAAAAUAUCCAGCAAAUUAAACUUGGAUCUUCCAUACACUGUGAAUUCAGCUGAAGCUUCCAUUGCUCGUUUGCCGCUAAAAACUUAUCUGUCUAGAGAAACAGACGCCAGUUUGUGCAUUCCAGAUUAAAUAUUACAACUAAUUAGGUUUUGUCUAUCCAAAAAUGGCCAUGCCGAUGGAGCCGGGAGUUUACUGGCGAGUCAAAAACAAGGCCUGGAAGCCAUACAAGCAAGACGUUGCUCUAAAGAUCCUUGUCAAAUAUUUUGAGGUACUGUUCCUUCUUCAAAGAUUGCUUUUCUUUUUCCAAUUCAUAUUUUAUAGUGGUUGAAUAGCGCACUGCAAUCCACAAUGCCAUUGGAUUUGGGUGAACGAGGUUGGCACAGUAUCAAUUUCGGGACAAUGAAGCUGAAGAGUAGACUCGGAAGAUACGAUAGAAGCGUCAAGAUAAUCCUCGCGCCCGUAGAGGACGAGCUCAUCAAACUGAUGGAUGCCAAGUUUUUGGAGUCGACUGUCCUCCCUUAUCAUUCCGGGAUUACUUUUUCGCAAAUCCAUCCAAACAAAUUAUCCCCGGCUACAAAGAUCUACAAGAAGUUCGUGAGAGCUCUCCAAUGCUACGCCACCCUCCACGACAAGAGCAUCUUGGGUACGUAAACUCUACAAGUCUGCCAGCUUUUCACGCUCUUCCUGCCAACCUUUGUGCUAAGUUUCUUUGGUGGGUAAUGCAGAUGAGAUGCGGCAAGCGGUGAACAAGUGCAACAUCUCAAGCCUCAAAUCGUUGGAGUUUGUGUUUCAUGGAAGCUGGCAGAAAAACAUAAGCUCCAUCCUUAAACGGGGUCUUGAUCCCAAGAAAGCCAAGGACAGUGGCUUUGGACCCUUUCUGUGGGUUGGAAAGACUCCACGGGUGAGCUGGAGUUACUGUGGUUGCGACCCACGUACAAUGGUGCUGUUUUUGGAGCUCAAAAAUCAUGGCGAGAGCGACUGGACCUGGGAUGGCAGACGAAGUGUACCACUUAACAAGAGCCAUGUCUUACUGCCAGUUGCAAAACUAGUUAUAAACUCGCUCUACGAUAGCUGAUACUUCACCAUCUUUUUUUUGUAUGCCAAAAGUUGAUUGACAUUGUGUGUGUCCAUCGUUUUUUUGUAUGCCAGAAGUUGAUUAACAUUGUGAUAUGAGAGAGAGAGAGAGAGAGAGAGAGAGAGAGAGAGAGUCAACGCCCAAGAAUACCAGUGAAUAUUCACAAAACACGUGGCACUAUGCCAUGCUGCCAAAUGUAAGCCGUUGAAGUCCACGUGUUUGGCUAGGGCAAAACAUCUGCGCCAUGAGCGACGAGGAAGUGAGCGAGGCGGUGGUGAUGGCGGAGGCGCCGCCGGUCAAGAAGAAGAGCGUCAAGAUCGCCGCCGCUGCCAUCGCCAGCGACGAGGCAGCGGAUCCCAGCGGCGCCGUCAAUGUGGGCGGCGAUCGCAAGGCCAAGAAGGUCAUCGUGGCCAUCGACGAGAGCCAAGAAAGCAUCCGAGCUCUCCGCUAUGCUCUCGACACUGUCGUCCAGCCCGGGGAUGGGCUUGUGCUGCUACACUCGCAGUUCAUGCCCCAUAGCUACGUUGGUCCCGGCGGCCCAGGUACUAAUCUUCUUCUCGUUCUAGCUUUUUCCAUAGAGAAUGUGGGGCUUGCUCCUCUUCUUUUUCUCUUUCGAGCUAUGGUUUGAGUUCUUUGCUAUGGUUUCCUCCUUGCUCCUUGAGUGUGGAUGUCUUUCUCGUUGGGAUUAGAGCUAUGGGUGUUAGAUCUUUUGUCUUUGGCACCAAAGUUUGGUCCUUGUGAUCUGCGCUUCACACGCAUUUCCGUCAGCUCUAAAACCAGGUAAAGCUUCGUUGGUUUUUGUUAGAGGAUCCAGUCUAUAGAGUUUUUGUGAUCUGCGCUUCACACGCAUGUCCAUCAGCUCUUAAACCAGGUAAAGCUUCGUUGGUUGUUGCUAGAAGAUUCAGUCCAUAGAGUUUUUUUUUGUGAUCUGUGCUUCCAUCAGCUCUAAAACCAGGUAAAGCUUCGUUGGUUUCUGCUAGAGGAUUCAGUCUAUGCUUUUCUACUAGCUUUCAUUCCUUGAGCUUUGGCUUUGGUAGAUCUUUUCUUCCUUGGCUUUUAGCUUGAAACGCAAAGACAUUGGUUCUGUAGGCUUCUACAUCACUCCCGACUUGGUGGCCGCCACAAGGAAGCACCAGGAGAACUCAAGCAAGGUCUUGCUCGACAAAGCCAAGAGGAUUUGCGGCGAUGCCAAUGUGGGCUCCUCUUCUGUGUUUAAGAUGGUCUUUUAUGCACGUUUCUCGCAGGUCCACCACCCAGAGCUUCUGAUGGCUACUGGAGAUCCUCGCGACAGUAUCUGCGACGCCGUGGAAAAGAUCCAUGCCGACUUGCUGGUGAUGGGAAGCCGCGGUCACGGAGCCAUCAAACGGUGAGCUCUCACUUUCUUCUCGAAGAUCACUAAAGCUCUUUUACUUUCUCGACCGACACAGGACUUUUCUUGGCAGUGUGAGCGACUAUUGUACUCACAACGCGAAAUGCCCGGUUUUGAUCGUCCGAAAGUGAGCCAAAGUGGAUGGCUUUGUUUUUCUUUCUUUCGUGUAUAUAUACGGUAUGGAUCUGCAAGUUCUCUCGUUUCCUUAUUUCUCUCAGCUGCACAAAUCGGAGGCUUUACUUUUUUUACAGUGACAGCAGCCUCCGCUGCUUAAAGAAUAAUACGAAUGCGAGAAAGAUCGCGAUGCCAGCAACGCCAGACGUGAUGAGAAUCCACUUGAAAGCUCGCGGCUCGUCAAAGAGGUCAAUCUGGAUGUUCAUCCCGAAAACACCCGCAAUCACGCCAAAAAUCGCCACCACGAACGUCGCGGUCGUGAGCAGCAACUCGAACUGGAUCAGCUGGUUCCUCACAUUGUCCUGGACGAUCAAAACCAAAGACCAUCGAUCAAAAACCGAAAAACCUUGGAUCGACAACUUCUCGGAAAGUACCAGUUGGAUGUUGAUGAAAUCCUCGGUGUCGUCAAUGUACUCCUUGAGCUGUGUAUAACCAGCGAGAUUAACACGGAUAACACCACGAGCCUUUCUUUUUUUCACUCGAAAAACUCGAAACCUUCGCCUUACCGAGGUGAGCUUGUUGAGCGUGCCAUCGAUGACAACAAAGUAGGCCUCGAGCAGCAUCUCCAGCUCCUCCACUCGCUCCGUUUCACUGUCCGAGCCGGGUGGCUGGACCAAGAGGUUUCUUCCCAGGCUCAUCGUCUUGUCCAGGCUCUUGAUCUUCUCGGUCGGCGGGCUGCCAACCGGAGACACAGGGGCCGACACCGACGCACAGACGUUGUUUGAGUACAAGAAGCCCUCGGCUCGCUCCUUCUUCUCGGUUAGAUACAUCUCGGCCAUGUCACCGUCGUCGUCCAUGAGGUGCUCGAUCUCGUCCCGGACCUGGAAGUUCGUGUGAGAUGAAGUAUCAAUGAGGUUUGUGAGCUUGGGAGGCUCGAACAAACACCAGUGAAGUUGGAACGAAGAUGAAAGAGCAAGGAGUGUGAACAGAACCAAAGUUCGUGUGAGAAGAGAGAAGCAAAGAUCAACAAGUGAGGUUUGUGAGCUCGGGAAGCUCAAGAAGAUGGAGUAAAGUUGGAACGAAGAACAAGGUGUGACUCCAGCAAACUUAUAGGAGAGAAUGAGAAGAGAGAAGCAAAGAUCAACAAUGAGGUUUGUGAGCUUGGGAAGCUGGAGGAAACACCAGUGAAGUUGGAACGAAAAUGAAAGAACUAGGAGUGUGACUUAGUGGUUUCAAUGGAAAGAAAUGAAAGAACUAGGAGUGUGACUUAGUGGUUUCAAUGGAAAGAAAGCUUCCAAAGGGGAAACGGAGUAAAAGCAGUACCUUUUGGACUCUCCUGGUGAGUGCCACGAGCCUGCUCUUAAGCCUACGAACUCGCUCCAGGUUGAGCGUGCUGAUCUUCGAGGUUAGAUCGUCCAGAACUGGAUACGCUUCCUCUUCAAGCUCUGUAGCCUGUCAAAAAGAGCAAAAAGACCACCGGUGAGUAGCAAAAAACGUGCCACAGGAAAGAGGAGAAAGAACAAAAGAGAAAAAAGAAGCAAUCAGUAGUAGUAUCACAGAAAAAGCAAAAGGCACCAAAAGAGAAAAAAAAAAUAUUGAAAAAUCUCAGAGAAGAAAAAAAGAAAAGCAUGAAAGUUCUUCCAAAGUUUUCUUCCAAGAAUCGAGGAACUAGAACUUGGUUACCUGUGUGUCAAGAUACGUGCACGCCGACUCCAGCGCCACCUCGAGCGCUCGAAACUCGAACGGCAAAUCGUCCGCUGCCGACGAUCCGCUAAACAUGUCCGUCUCUCUCAUCAGCGCCGCCCUCCUCAUCUCCUGCUUGGCCGGAUGAUCCUCAGUCCCACACUCCCAGCUCCCUCCUCCACCACCUCCACCACCUCCAAAUCCAAUCGCUCCAAUCCCACCACCACCACCAUAUCUCCCGGCGAUGUUGCUACUGCUCGAGGAGCUCGUCAUCCUCGGCAUCAAUCGCCGCUGGAGCUCGCUCACGUACUGGAGCACGUAGUGAUCCAGCGAAUUCAAGAGCAGCACCUCGUCCGCGGUGAUGAUACACCGGAUUUGCUCCAAGUUGACAACGAUGGCCUUCUCUCGUCCCAGCAGCGUGGAAGGAUAGACAAAGAGUGGAUCCAGCAGCCGCAAGUCGCGAGCCGGAAGCUCACACCUCCUCAUGAUGCUGAACUUGUCCAUCUCUAGCACCUGGGAAUUGCCCGCGCGGUCGAUCCGGAUCCACGACCGGAUGCCCUGCCCGCGCUUCUUCAAUCCCACCACGUCCAUCCCCUGGAAGAGCGGCUUGGGCAGAUUGGAAGUGGGCGAUUGCGCGCGAUGGAGGAGCUUGUAUCUCAGAUGAUCGCCCAUGCUUGGUCGCGUGCUCUUGUUCUUGCUCUUGCUCUUCCAUCAACGCCCUAAAACGUCCUGGCCGGCACUACCACCCCCGGGCGGAUUGAAUUGCUGGAUUUGGAGCGUACCCAUUUGCGAGCGGUGCCGGGGACUCACACCCAAUUCGCCCGAUCCAUCGCCCACGGCCUAUCGCGCCGCCUCUCCAUCGCCGCCGCCAUCGCCGCCCAGGAAGAAGAAGAUGGCCGCAUUUGGGCAACCUCUCGAUAGGGAAAAGUUUACUGGCUUCGUUUUUUCCCCUUUUUUACCUACUUAUCCUAAAAAUCUUUGUGUGUGCGUAGUUUACUCACUGUGGCCACCAUCUUCCUCCAGGAACUCCAUUUAUAAUGCGUGGAAGUUCUUCUUCCUUGAUCUCUUCCUCCAAGAACUUUGGAGAACUCCAUUUAAUGCCUGUGAGUUCUUCCUCCUUGGAUCUCACUGCUGCUCUAAAGAUCUUUGUCUUUCGGCGAUCCAGCAGCAGUAAUAGCGCCCCUUGUGUCCGAGUCCCCCGUGAUCUUAUCAUCGCCAUCGCCGCUCAGUGAAAGCGUGCGUUUGGAUCCAGCGAGUGCUACUCCCAGCACUAGAUUGUCUUCUCCAAAGUUUGCUGGAGGAGAUUUCUUGAGCUGUUGUUCCUCGUUGUUACUUCCCUGGCCUGUGCUCUUUGUUGUUGGAGGAGAUUUCUUUGCCAGUAGUUCCUCGGUGCUCUUUGUUGUCGGAGGAGAUUUCUUUGCCAGUAGUUCCUCGUUGUUACUUCCCUGGACUGUGCUCUUUGUUGGAGGAUAUUUCUUUGCCUGUUGUUCCUCGCUGUUACUUGUGCUCGCUUGAUUCGAAAAAGAAGAAGGAACUGUUCCUGUUACUGUUGCUGUUGCUGACCCCGUCUCUUUCCAUGGAUCGUCCACCUGUUGGUGCUGCUGCCUGUCUCUAGCUUCCUUUUGCUUCACUUUCAAAUCUUUCGCUGUCUCGGAUGGUCUUGACUUUGUCUCUUGCAACUCUUUCGCUUUCCCUGUGCUCUCGUUGCUCGCCUCCAGCUUGAUCUCUCGUUUCGGCGAAGCUGGGGGUUCCUUGGGCGAUGUCGACGCCUUUGGUGGCUUGCUGCUGUCUUUGAUCGCUUGCUUUCCUAAAUGCUGCUUUGUGUUUUCGCCGGUCUCGCUGCUUUUCUGGUCCUCGGCCUUAAUCGUCGCUGGCUCGCCACCACUGUCAGCCGAGACUUCCGAGAUCUUUGCUGGAGGUUUUUCGAAAGCCGCACCUAGCAAGCUCAUGUCUUUAGCAUUAAGUCCCAUGGAAUCCAAACCUUCGAGAGGUGUCUUUGGAGAAGGCUGUGCUUCUUCCAUAUCCUGUUUCGGAACUUCGAUAGGAGCGACAGUGUUUGGCGCCUCAUGCUUCGCCUUCCCAGACUCGGCUGGUACUGCGGAUGCGUCUACGAGGAGCAACGGCCUGCCAUCUUCGUUGACACGUUUCUGUAAGGCGACUGGCGAGUUUCUGCUUCGUCGUAUACCCUCUGGAUAGAGCGAAUGGGAGUGGCAAGUCGGGCAUUGUGAUGGCUGAUGACUUUGAGCAGGUUGAGAAGAAUAAUUUC